RNAcentral lists this long non-coding RNA (46661 nucleotides) under Panax ginseng (ginseng). Its description in RNAcentral is "long non-coding RNA (PGIN_LNC007489)". Lineage: Eukaryota; Viridiplantae; Streptophyta; Magnoliopsida; Apiales; Araliaceae. The record is from RNAcentral.
ACCAAAUAAACAACAAGUCUUCAUCACUUGUUGACCUUGCCCUUGCCUUUGCUAGUAGAAGGCUCUUCGGACCUUUUGUUCUUAACUGUAAUGUUAUUAUUACGCAAGAGUGAGCACGAUUGCCCACAAGUAUAAUAAUAUAACAACAAUAUAAUAACAUGAGAGUGAAUCAAGACAUCUGAAUAAAGAAACUCAACUUUUGACUCAAGAAUGAAUAACAGGAAUCAAAAGAACAUCUGAGGGUCAUAAAACCUCGAACUAUGUCUUAGGUUGUAAAGUUUUUAUUCUUUAAACCUUUAACAGUCAUAAGACUAUGGACUCUACUUCUCGUACUUAGGGGGAUCAGCCCUUAGUACCAUACUGUGCACAAUAUCUCAACGCUAAAGCGUAAAUAAUCCCCUAUACAGGGUUGUUCAUCUCAGUUUGACAUCGAAGUCCGCACCAAAGAAAGUUUAGUUUGAAUAAGCUCAAUAAUAGUUUUGAAAUUUAGAACGUUCAUCAACUAUGGACUAGUCGAAUCAAUAAGGUUUGGCUAUUCUUACAAAGUUCAACAAUAAAGAUAUUCAAUUUAAAUUAACAAAUCUCAAGAGUAUACAAUUUAGGAAACAUUGUAUAACUGAAGUAAUACUUAAACAGAGUUAUAAUAUCUCAUCUGAAAUCUUGAACUUGAAUAGUAAGAACAAGAACUUGAUUGACAUAGAAUUAUAAGUAUCGAACUUGCUCAAUCGAAGAAUUUAGAAUUUAAAGAAACUUGUUUAACAAUAAUAAGUGAAUGAUAAAAUACUUUCUCAAUGUAAAAGUAAGGUUUAGAAACUUACUUGACGAUAAUAAUUUAGGGAUAAAAUACUUGCUUAAUCAUAAUAGAGUUAGGAUAAGGAAACUUGCCACAUGCGCAAGCUACAAAUCUAGUUACAAUACAAUUCCUCAACGUCCUACACAUUACAUUAUGCAUACGAUGUCGAAUAGUUUUCAUAACUACUAUGUUUAACUGUUGAACUAUUCACUUAAGUUCAACUUAAAACUUGGUUUAUAAUAUUACUCGAUGACUAACCACAUAACAUGAAUGUAAACUCACAACAUGCAUAUCACACAUGUAUAACCCUUUAAACAAUCAUAAUCAAGUAUUACAAUCACAAUAUUCAAGUUCGCACUUAGUUUGUUAACUUGAACCUUCACAUUAUCUCAUACAUGUUAAUAACUUAGUUUAUUAAUCAUGAACUUCAAAUCAUAUAAUAUUCAUGUAUGUAACUUAGAACAACAUCUUUUUUUAUCGAGAACACUACACUUGUGCGCGUGCAUGUCCGAAGCCUUCAGAUUACCUCUGAAUACGCAUCAGUCACAAAUAUGGUCAUUUUUACCCAUUUUAAAAUUUUUAAAUCGAAAAACUUAAAGAAUGAAAGUUGUAGGUAUACUCGUUAUCUUUUUAAAUCAUCCUGAAUCGCCUUAAUCGGAAUUCGUAUAAAGAAGUUAUGCUUAAUUUACUACAGGAGGUCAAAACAAAAAUUUUCCCUAAACUAUCCCCGCUGGGGGCAGGUGUUGUGCUACAUGGGGCCCGCUGGGGCGGGCCUAGAGCCGCUGGGGUGGGCUUACCUUGGCGGUUCAUCCCCCAUUCGCGAUGUUGACAUUUUUUAGCCCAAAUACUCCAAUUAAAUGCAAAUUAAACUCACACAGUGAUUUCUAUGAAGUAUGAACUUCAUAGAAACAUCAUACAAUAUUACUAACAUGUUUUUAACAUCUUAAAUCAUGCAAUUACUUGAAUCAAAUCAUUAAAUUCCACUGUUCUUGGUGUUCUUGACGAUUUUGAAGAAAAAUACGAAAAAUCAUCGUCCCGGAUUCGUUAUAACUCUGAAUCCGUCCGUUCAAAGUUUGUUUUCUUUUUUUUAACAUGUAUAAUCAUAGUCUACUGUAAAAUUCAUGUUAAAAAACCAAUUUAAAGUAUCCAAUUUAUACAUAAAGUCAUAUACAUGUUCCUCAUGCUCUACAACUUCUGAAAUUCCAAUUUAAACAUAAUUUCAUAGUUUUUGUUUCUUUAAAGCAUAUAUAAUUGAUGGAAUUCAUAUCAUAAUCAUAUAGUAACACGUAUAUAUUCACCUCAGGCAUAAAUCACCAAUUUGGUUGUUAUAGAGGAUUUCAGAACAUACGUUAAUGGAAGAACUUGAAAACAAAACUUGCAAACUAAAGAUGAAGGAAUUACCCUUGCUACUUGUGAGAUUAGACGAUGUAAAACUCUUCUUAUUCUUUGAUUCUUUAAUCUCUCUUCCUUAAACUCUCAAACUCUCUCUCAAAAUUUUCUCUAAACUUAUUAACUAGUAUAAUAUGAACUAAUAUAUGAUAUAAGUUUGAUUAUAUGAUAUAUAGAUAUAUAAUAUACGUAUGUAGAAUAACUGGUCUCGUAGUGGUCAGUUACUCCCAUUAUGGGUUAACUGGCCAACUCCUACUAAGGCCUCGUUUGGCUGGCCGCUUAAUAACUCAUUCUCAUUAAUUUAAUUAAAUGCUUUAUAGUAUAGUUUUAAUGUCACACUUCUAAUUAACCAAAUAAUCUUAUUUAAAUCAAUUAAAUAAAAUAUCAUAAAUCCACAUUAAAUCACAUAAUCACAUAAUUAAAAUUCUCAUUUAUUAAUUAUGUCAAAUAAUUAAAUCUCUAAUUAAUUAUUAAAUUAAUUAGAACAACAUUAUGCUUAUUAAAUGAUUCAUUUAAUCAAAUAAGCUAAAUUAAAUACAUGCUUUGAAUAAUAAAAUUCUCCACAUUAAUUUAAUCAAUGUAACACAUAUAAUUAAAUUAAUUUACCAUACUUUCAUCAAUUAAUUAUUUAAUUCAAUAAUUAACUCAUCGAAAAAUAUUUAUUUAAUUCAAUAAAUAUUCAAAUUAAAUUACAAAAAUCUCUUUCGUCACAUCUUUCCCACCUUAAAAGGAUUUUGUCCUCAAAAUCACGGUUCAAUUAAAUUCAUUUCGUUACAUUCUCCCCCCUUACAAAGAUUAUGUCCCCAGAAUUGCUUACACAUAAUUAUACAAAUAAUUGUGGAUAAUUCAUCAUCAUAUGGUCUUCGAGUUCCCACGUAGCUUCUUCAGCAUUGUGGUUCCUCCAAAUUACCUUAACAGAAGGUAUAACUUUAUUUCUGAGAACUUGCUCUUUCCUGUCAACAAUCUGGACAAGAAUUUCUUCAUAGGAUAAGUCUUUCUCACUAUGUAUUCUCAAUAUGUAGGGGUUCAUAUUCAAUCAUGUGCUUGUAAUCGGGUUUGUAGGGUCGAAAACUGAAACAUAGAAGACGUUGUGGACGUUCUCUAGCGCCGGAGGUAAGGCUACCUCAUACGCAACUUCUCCAAUUCUUCGAAGUACCUCAAAGGGUCCAAUGAACCUCGGGCUCAAUUUCCCCUUCUUUCUGAAUCUGAUCUUUCCCUUCCUGGGAUAGACUUUCAAAAACACAUAGCUACCCGAUUCGAACUCAAUGUUCUUACGGUGUGGAUUAGUGUAUUUCUUUUGCCUAUCCUGAGCUAUUACCUGUCUUAUUCUGAUUACUUGACUAUAUCUGCUGUCUGCUGUACCAGUUCUGGACCUAGUAGUUGUCUUUCGCCAACUUCAUCCCAGUAUAGCGGAGUUUUGCAUUUUCUUCCAUACAACGCUUCGUAAGGCGGCAUGCCAAUACUAGCGUGGUAACUGUUGUUGUAGCCGAAUUCCACAAGUGGUAGGUGAUUAUCCCAAUUUUCUUUGAAAUCCAUGAUGCACGCUCUCAACAUAUCCUCCAAGGUUUGGAUCGUUCUUUCGCUCUGCCCGUCAGUCUGAGGGUGAUAAGCCGUACUCAUUCUCAACUGUGUCCCCAUGCAUUCCUGUAGUCAUUUCCAAAAGUUCGAUGUGAAGCGCAGAUCUCGGUCAAAAACAAUUGACAUCAGGACUCCGUGCCUCGAAACAAUCUCUUUCACAUAUAACUUUUCCAACUGGUCUAAGUUGGAUCUGAUUCUGAUCGGAAGGAAGUGUGUUGAUUUCGUCAGUCGGUCAACGAUAACCCAUACUGCGUCGUAACCUUUCUGAGUCGUCGGAAGGCCAACCACGAAAUCCAUUGUAAUGUGUUCCCAUUUCCAUUCUAGGAUUUCUAGGGGUUGUAGCAAACCACUCGGUCUCUGAUGUUCUGCUUUCACUUUCUGACAGGUCAGACACUUUGCAACACACUCAGCAACAUCUUAUUUUAGAUCCGGCCACCAGAAGUGUUGUCGAAGAUCCUGGUACAUCUUGGUACUACAGGGGUGAAUCGAAUAUCGUGAGCUAUGAGCCUCGCCCAAAAUGUCCUCCUUAAUUUUUGGCACUAACGGUACUCAAACUCUGUUCUCAAAUCUUAGUAGUCCCUCACUGUCUAUCUUGAAUCUCGGUUCGGUUCCUUCAGAUAUUUUUUUCUUCACCUUUUCACAUUCUUCGUCCUGGAGUUGAGCUUCCUUAACUUUAUCCAAUAGGGUUGUACCAGCUUGCAUCUGAAACAACUAUUCGUCAAUCUCCAUCGGAUACUUCACUUCCAAUUUCAACUUUUCCAUUGCUGAAAUUAGCUCCUCCUGAGCAGUCAACAUCAUAAACUUCUCCCGACCCUUCCUGCUUAAGGCGUCGGCAACCACAUUAGCCUUACCCGGAUGGUAUAAAAUCUUGCAGUCAUAGUUUUUAAUUAACUCUAGCCACCUUCUUUGGCGCAUAUUCAAGUCCUUUCGUGUAAAAAUAUAUUUAAGACUCUUAUGGUCUGUAUAUAUUUCACACUUCUCACCACAGAGAUAGUGUCUCCAGAUCUUUAAGGCAAAUACCACUGCAGCUAACUCCAAGUCAUGGGUCGGAUAUCCCUUCUCAAAAUCCUUCAGUUGUCGUGAAGCAUACGCAAUGACCCUACCAUUUUGAAUAAGCACACAGCCUAGUCCUUUAUGCGACGCAUCACUAUAAACCACAAAAUUUUCUGUGUCGUCCAGAAGAGAUAACACAGGUACUGAACUCAUCCUCUUCUUAAGCUCUUGGAAGCUUUCCUCACACUUCUCCGUUCAAACGAACUUCACCGAUUUCCUAGUCAAAUUCGUCAGCGGGGUUGCGAUCUUGGAAAAGUCCUGAAUGAAUCUUCUAUAAUAGCCCGCCAAUCCAAGAAAACUUCUCACUUCUGAUGGCGUUUUCGGCUGAUCUCAGUUCAUCACAGCUUCGACUUUAGAGGGAUUUACCGAAAUUCCGUCAUUGUCGAUCACAUGUCCAAGAAAUUGUACUCUUUCAAUCCAGAAUUCACAUUUCAAAAACUUGGCGUACAACUUCUUUCUUCUCAACGCCUCUAAUGUUAACUUCAGAUGUUCUACAUGUUCUUCCUUGGUCUUCAAGUAUACCAAAAUGUCGUCGAUAAAGACCACCACGAAUUUGUCCAAAAACGGCUUAAACACUCUAUUCAUUAAGCCCAUAAAUGCUACAGGAGCAUUCGUUAGACCAAAUGACAUCACCAAAAAUUCAUAGUGACCAUAUCGAGUCCUAAAUGUUGUCUUCGAAACAUCCUCUGGCCUCACCUUCAGUUGAUGAUAACCACUCCUCAAAUUUAUCUUCGAAAAGUACCUUGCUCCCUUCAAUUGAUCAAAUAGGUCGUCGAUCCUCGGUAACAGAUAUCUAUUCUUAAUUGUGACCUUAUUCAGUUCUCUGUAGUCGAUACAAAGCCGCACCGUCCCGUCAUUCUUUUUCACAAACAACACCGGCGCUCCCCACGGAGAUACGCUCGGUUGGAUGUACUUCUUGUCUAAUAACUAUUACAGUUGUACCAUUAACUCUUUCAUCUCUACCAAAGCCAUCCGGUACGGUGCUUUCGAUAUUGGAGCCAUCCCUGGCGCCAAAUCGAUCACGAACUGAACUUCUCUGUCUGGUGGAAGUCCUGGCAGAUCAUCAGGAAAUACGUCUAUGAAGUCCCUCACGACUAGUAUAUCUUCCACUUUCGGGUUUUCUUUACGACUAUCGACUAUGUAGGCUAAAUAUUCUACACAGCCUUGGCUUAACAACUUCCUGGCCUGCAUCAUCGUCAGAAAACUAGCUUGCCUAGGCAAUUAAACACAACCUUUGACGGGGUCAUAAGGUUGAUACACUUCCUCUGGCAAUCAAUUACAGCCCCAUAAUUGACUAACCAAUCCAUUCCCAGAAUAAAAUCGAAUUCCCCAAGCCUAAUCGGGAUAAGAUCUACGUUCAUAAUGUUACCCUUAAUAUCCACCCUACAGUUCUUAUGUACGUACUUAAUAGGAAUCACUUCUCUAUUCACAAUUUCUAUGUUCAUAAGGUAUUCUAACUCGUCCAUAGGUAAUUCUAAGUUCUUAGCAAAGUCAUCAGAUAUAAAUGAACAAGUAGCACCCGAAUCAAAUAGUACAUAAGAAUUAAUUUUAUUGAUCGGAAUGAUGCCUGACACCACAUCGCGAGACUAUACAGCAUCCUGCACGGUCAUGUUGAAGGUUCUGGCGGUCGGUCGGUUGGUUGCGGUUGGUCCCGUGAUAGUUAGAGCACUUCCACCGCUGUUCCCCCUAUUCCCUACUGAUCUUGUCCCUCCAGAUCUCCUCUUGGGACAGUCCCUUGCCAGAUGGUCCUUUGUGUAAGACCCCAACUUUUAUGAAUAAAAAAUUUAAUUUCCUCUAUAAUUUAUUUUGAAUAGUAAGGGGUUGAUUUGAUUAAUGUGGUAAGUUAUGGGUAAAAUGCGCAAAUAUUUUUAAAUAAGCAAGUGGUUAUAAAAUAUUAAUUGUUGUCGGGGAAUAUUCACUUGGUCGUGAAAUAUUCUUGCUGUCGGGGAAUAUUCGUACAACGGCUCAGCCAAUUGUGGGCCCCAUAACAGAAAACUGUCGGAUGAAGAAAACGACACGAAUGAGGUUUUAAAAAAUAAUGGCGGAGUUGUUACCGUUUAACACUGUUGGAAUACCUGGUGGAUAAAAUAAAGUAAUACGCGUCGUUGCACAGUAGCACACGGUAUUGCACAGUAUUUUUAUAUUAUUGUUAAUUCCAUAAUUGCUACUGCACAGUAUUUCUUAUUAUCAGAUCAAUAAUUCAUAUUAUUUGAAUAAUAUUAUUAGAUAGCAUUAUUGACAAUGUUUAAGGAAGUUCUGUCGAGGAAAUGGGUUAGGUUAAUCUAAUUGCGCGUCAGUAAGGAGAAAUCCUUAUCGGAAAGCCCCCUCUUUCCUAGGAACGACCUGGUUGUCAAUAUUGUAGUUCUGUAAUAUUAUUUUUGAAUAAUUAAUUAUUGAUUUAUAUGAUAAGAAAAUAUUUAUUUUAUGGAUAUAAAUGAAGGAAAUAAUGCUAAGGUGUUUUUAUCAGUAUUUUGGUGUGAAAAAUCAUCUGUUUGUGGAUUUCGGACAUUUUCUAUUUAAAAUUUGGAAAAACUUUCUUCUGCAAAGUUGUAGAGAAUUAAAUUUCCUAUGGAAAGAACAUGAGAUUUGAAUUUUUCUGAUAAAGGGCUAUUUUUCAUGAAUUAUUGAAGUUCCAGAAUAUUGUGUCGGAAGUGAUUUUUGGGGUUAAAAUUUUUUUUUUACAAAAAACGUUUUUAAAUGGGUGGGCCCCACUUGGUGAGCUGAUGAAUGGGUCAAAGGUGGGCUUGAAUAUUUAUUUAAUAAAAUAAUAUUUUAUUAAAUUUUUUGCUUUGGCGUUCUAAGUAUUUUCCUAUAAAUAGGGUGCUAAAUUAGAAUUUGAAAAUCACACCAAAAUCAAAAGUUUCUCUCUAUAUAAUAUCGAGCGUAUUUUUGUGAGUAUUUAGAUAUUGUGAGUGUUGCUAUGCAAAUUUUCUUCAGCCUUAUAUCCGAUAUUCCAAUUCGAAGUACUGUCCUUUUGAGGUAAGGGAUGUUAUUUUUUUUUUUCUGAAAAUGAUGUUAUUUCUUUUAAUAUCAUUAUACCAAAAUAUUGACAUGGAUUUUAUUAUGAAAUUCUUACUUUUUCCGUCGAGGUUACUAUUCACGUAUACAGCACUAUUCACGUAUACGACAUUAUUCACCGGAAAAUUUAAAAUUUCUUUUAUUUGUCCAAAUUGGCUAUUAAGAUUUUUAUCUUUGAUUGAAUCCAAGUUUUGAACUUUAUUCUUAAAUUUUGCUCCAUAAAUAAUUAUUAUGGAGUGUUUUUGGACUUGGAUAAACUAAAAUUACGAAUCCUUAUUUUUGUCCUUUAUCUCACUGGAUUCGUUCUUUAAAAUAAUUUUCAUUAUCUUCAGUUUUAAAUGGUGAUACGAAAGAAUAUCGUUGGCCCGUAGUGCAAAGAUGGAUGAUUAUUUGAUGAAUAUCUUUGGCCUGUAGUGCAAAGAUGACAAGUAUUGAGAUGAACAUGACCAACUGGUGAUAUAAAUGAAUUUCUUUGGCCGUAGUGCAAAGAUGAAUAUUUGAUUUGAUAAAUAUAUGGAUGUUACAGGGAUACAAUAUUGAUGAUGGACUUUUAAAUCAUAGAUGUGACGCCCCCAAAAUAGGUCCAUUCCAUCCAACCCAUUCUGAGUCGCCAAAUACAUGGUACAUAAAUAACUACAACUUUAUUAUUACAACAUAUAAACUGUGAGUUUAAAUACAGAUAUUGCCAUCUAGACAAUAUCCACACGCAAAUAAAUCCCCAUCAUAAUUAUUGAUACAUUAUUUUACAAAAAUGGUGAGGACUACUAAACAACUCUCUCUAGAACCUUCAUUCCAUACCCCGACUCGUACUCGCUAUAUUCUCGCCUCCUGAGAAGAAAAAUGGAACAAAAAGGAAAAGGGUGAGCUCAACUAGCCCAGUAAAGAAUAUUAUGACUAAGAUAAUAUACAACAAAUUAUCGUUAGUCUUCAACAGGGAAAAAUCUAAUAGAAUACAAUAGACAACAAGUUUUAAAUCAAUAUUCGCAGCGGAAAUAAUAAUUCAUUAGAAGAGUUAAGUAGAGAAUGCAAACUACUAUCUUCUAUGUAUGAAUUUAAAAGUUCAUCGUCUAUCUUUUAUCCCUGUAACAUCAAUCAAUAUAUAUCUGGAAUCAAAUAUUCAUCUUUGCACUACAGGCCAAAGAUAUUCAUCAGUUGGUCAUGUUCAUCUAAACACCUGUUCAUCUUUGCACUACGGGCCAAAGAUAUUCAUCAGAAAUCAUUCAUCUUUGCACUACAGGCCAAAGAUAUUCAAUAAUAUCAUCAUUUAAGACUGAGGAUGAUAAAAAAUUUUUUUUAAAGAAACGAAUCCAGUGAAACAAAAUGACAAGGAUUAAGGAUUAAGGAUUCGUACUUUGUUUUAUCCACGUCCAAAAAUACCUCAAAAAUAAUCAUAGUGGUGUAAAAUUCAAGAAUGAUCAAAACAUGGAUACAAUCAAAGCUAGUAUCCAGAAUAGAUAUUUUGGACAAAAAGAAGAAAUUUCAUUUUUCGGUGAAUAGUGCCGUAUUCGUGAAUAGUGCCGUAUACGUGAAUAGUAACUCCAACACCAAAAGAUAGAAAUUUCACAAAAAACAUCAUCACGCUUCGUGAAUAGUAACUCGUGAAUAGUAACUCAUGAAUAGUAAUUCGUGAAUAGUAACUCAUGAAUAGUAACCCCGACAUAAAAAAGUUUCAAAUUUGAUACAAUUUCCAACCAAUAUUUUGGCAUAAUGAUAUUGAAGAAAUAAUAUCAUUUACGAAGAAAAUAACAUCCCUUACCUCGAAAGACAGUACUUCUAGUUGAAACACCGGAUAUAGGCUAUGACUUGAACUUGCACCGUAUAGCAAUACUUAAAGUAAACUAAAAAUACUCACAAGAAUACGCUCGAUAAUAUAGAGAGAGAAAACUUCAGUUUCUGGUGUGAUUUUCAAUUCUAACCUAAGCACCCUAUUUAUAGAAAAAUGCUUAGAACACCAAAGUAGAAAAUUUAAUAAAUUAAUAUUAAUUAUUUUCCACAUCUUCCUACGCAUCCAUGAAUCUGAACUCAGCCAUCCUAACACAUGUUAAAUGAGUCCCAAACAUGUAAAAAAUGUUUUUCCUAUUUUAAAUAUUUUAAACUUCCAAAAAUCAAUUAUUUCGGAACUCCGAAACUUCAAUAAUUCAUAAUAAAUAGCUCUUUUGUCAGAAAAUUCGAAACACGCGAUUUUUUAUAGGAAAUUCAAUUCUCUACAACUUUACAGAAGAAAGUUUUUCCAAAUUUCAAACAAAAAUUGAUCGAAAUCCACAAACGGGCGAUUUUACAGGCUAUAAUCAAAUUUCAGUCAAGAAAUAUGGUCCACCGACACAUAAAACAUGCUUUAAAUAUUUUUGGUAACAAAAAUACUCCUCCUCCACAUAUACUCAUAUAUCCCACAUUCAUCGUAAAAAUAUCAUCAUUAUUAUAUUAUUAAAAUAUAAUAAUAUAUUUAAANNNNNNNNNNNNNNNNNNNNNNNNNNNNNNNNNNNNNNNNNNNNNNNNNNNNNNNNNNNNNNNNNNNNNNNNNNNNNNNNNNNNNNNNNNNNNNNNNNNNNNNNNNNNNNNNNNNNNNNNNNNNNNNNNNNNNNNNNNNNNNNNNNNNNNNNNNNNNNNNNNNNNNNNNNNNNNNNNNNNNNNNNNNNNNNNNNNNNNNNNNNNNNNNNNNNNNNNNNNNNNNNNNNNNNNNNNNNNNNNNNNNNNNNNNNNNNNNNNNNNNNNNNNNNNNNNNNNNNNNNNNNNNNNNNNNNNNNNNNNNNNNNNNNNNNNNNNNNNNNNNNNNNNNNNNNNNNNNNNNNNNNNNNNNNNNNNNNNNNNNNNNNNNNNNNNNNNNNNNNNNNNNNNNNNNNNNNNNNNNNNNNNNNNNNNNNNNNNNNNNNNNNNNNNNNNNNNNNNNNNNNNNNNNNNAAUAUUCCACGACCAAACGAAUAUUCCCCGACAAUAAUGAAUAUUUUAUAACCACUUGCUUAUUCGAAAUAUUUGCGUAUUUUACCCAUAACUAUCCACAUUAAUCAAAUCAACCCUUACUAUUUCAAAAUAAUAAAUAGAGGAAAAUAAAUUUCAUUUAUUAAUAAUUUGGGGUCUUACAAUAGAAGAUAGUAGACAUUAUUUUCUACUUUACUCAUCUGAUAUAUUGUUAUUUCUGCUGCAGUUGUUAAUCUAAAACUUGUUGUCCAUAAUAUUUUAUCUGAUCUGUUAAAGACUAACGAUAAAUUAUUUUUCAUUAUCUUAGUCAUAAUAUUCUUUACUGGGCUAGUUGAGCUCACCCUUUUCAUCUAUUGUCCUCUUCAGGAAAUGAGAAUGUUGCGAUGACUAGUCGGGGAACAGAGUAAUGGGCAGACUUAAGAGCAGUAGUAGUUCUCACUAUUUUUAUAAAAUAGUGUGAUAAUAAUUUUAAUGAGUUAUUAGUUUGAAUGUUUAACUUUUUUAGAUAUUUGUAUUGACACUCACAGUGUCUGAUCGUAUUUUUUACUACCUUGUGUUAUAAAAGAUUGUAUUUGGAUUAUGAACCAUGUAUUUGGCGACUCAGAAUGAGUAGGGUUGACUGGACCUAUUCUGGGGGCGUCACAGUUGGUAUCAGAGCUUAGGCAUAUGAUCUCUGGCGGAGAUCGGGGAAUAGAACUAGGAGGGGAGAGACGAGUAAAUCCUUCGCUAGUAUGUCCCACCUAAGCUUAUUUGGAAUUUAAUUGGCGGGUCGUGGUUAUAGGGUUGAUAUGUUGAUUUAUUUAAUUAACCCUUGUUUUAUGGCAGUAUUUGAAAAUGGCAGCUGAGAAUAUUAGCAAUGGAGUGUAUGAAACUGUGGAGACACCUUUGAUCACCAACCAGGAGAACGUACAUCAGGAAGACAAUAUUCCUCCUGUGAACAACACUACCGAACAGACGUUGAACGAUGGGAUGUUUAGAAGCUUUUUGCAGUUUAUACAAAACCAGACGAGGGAGACUCGUGCGCAAAAUACAGGUGGAAAUAAUAACAACACGUGGAUUGUCGCUGCCAAGCAGUUCAAAGAGUUGGGACCACCAGAGAUUUUGGGAAAUCCAGAUCCGAUCAGGACGGAGACAUGGGUUAAGCAAAUUACCAAGAUAUUUGAUGUCUUGGGAUGCACGGAGGAACAAAAGGUUCUAUUCGCUACUUUUAUGUUCUGAGGAGUGGUAGAUUAAUGGUGAGAAUCUGUGAAGUGUACCCAAAAUACUGCACUCAAGAUGUCUUGGGAAGCGUUCCAGAAACUGUUCAAUGAUAAGUACUUUCCUGAAUGUAUUCGUCAUAUGAAAGAGGUAGAGUUCAUCAGACUGGAACAGAACAACAUGACUGUGUCCCAGUACGAGGCUAAGUUCGCGGAGUUGUCCAGGUUUGCACCUCAUUUGGUGGAGAAUGAGGAACGUAUAACGCGGAUGUUUCUGAGAGGUUUGAAACCCGAAAUACGUCAAUACCUCAUUUCUCACAAAUUUUCUUUAUAUUCAGAUGUAGUAAACAGGGCUCAGUUAUUAGAACGAGAUAAUGAGUUUGUUCAAUCGAGGGACAACAACCAAGGAUGUACCAGUGGCAGCAGUCAUAGGAACAAUGACAACCAACAGGGAGGAAAGUAUCAUGACAGAAGCGGUAACCACUCUGGUGGUAAUCGUGGCCACAAUAAUAGAAGAAGUGAGUCGGGAGGAGAUUUCAAGAAGAGAAGGUACAACAAUGAGAAUGUGAAGACGUCGACAUCAGCACCAACAUCAACUGUUUCUAGGGGAGGAGAAUGACCACUAGUCGUAUGUUAUAAAUGCGAAAAAGAGGGGCACAUCAGCCCAAACUGCCCACAACAACUCAAGGUGUGUUAUAACUGUGGAAAGGAAGGUCAUAUAGCUCGAGAGUGUCCUGUAGCAAAACCAAGUCCAGCGGGGGUGGUGAUUCCAAAGGCAAUUUUGGACAAGUCGAAGUCAGUGGUUCCUGGUAGAUCGUUUGUCAUGAUUUCCCAGAACGCGAGGAACCCGCACGAGGUGAUUACGGGUAAGCUAAUAAUAAACUCUUGCGAAGUUUACACCUUGUUAGAUAUCGGUGCUACCCAUUCUUUUAUUUCACCUACUUGUGCUCAACGUUUAAAUUUGACACCUGAGAAACUAGACUUUGACUUAUCUGUUGAAACUACGUUGGGUGAAACUUUUGUUACAUCUACAGUUUACAAAUCUUGCUUAAUUCAGAUUGGUACCCUCACCCUACCUGUUGAUCUUAUAUCUUUGAAAAUACUUACAUUUGACGUGAUUUUAGGAAUUGACUGGUUAACCACUUACCAUGCCAAAAUUUAUUGUUUCCGUAAGGUUGUUAGUUUUCAUAUUCCUAACCAACCUAUUGUGCGAAUCCGAACAACCAAACCACUAAAAUCAGUCAAUGUUAUUUCAAGUCAUAAAGCUAUUCGUUUAUUGAAAAAUGGAUGUCAAGCUUUCUUAGCCCAUGUCACUGAUCUAAAUCGGAAUACGUCAGGUUUAAAUGAUAUUUCUUUUGUUAAUGAGUUCCCUGAUGUAUUUCCCGAAGAACUUCCCGGUCUACCUCCAGAACGUGAGGUUGAAUUCUUUAUUGACCUUGAGCCCGAUACAAAACCCAUUUCUAAAAUCCCAUAUCGAAUGGCUCCUAUUGAACUCCAGGAGUUAAAGGUCCAGUUACAGGAGUUGUUGGACAUCGGUUUUAUUCAUCCUAGUACGUCUCCUUGGGGUGCUCCUGUUUUAUUUGUGAAGAAGAAAGACGAGAGUAUGCGACUUUGUAUUGACUAUCGGGAGUUGAACCACGUCACCAUCAAGAAUAGGUAUCCGCUACCUCGUAUUGAUGACUUUUUUGACCAGUUGGAAGAAGCGCAAUUCUUUUCAAAGAUCAAUCUUCGUUCUGGAUAUCAUCAUCUGAAGAUUAAAACUGAGGAUAUUCCGAAGACUGCCUUCAGAACUCAGUACUGGCAUUAUGAAUUCCUAGUCAUGUCUUUUGGAUUGACUAAUGCUCCUGCUGCUUUCAUGGACAUGAUGAAUCGGAAAUUCAAGGAAUAUUUGGAUCAGUUCGUGGUUGUCUUUAUUGAUGACAUUCUCAUCUAUUCCAAAAGCUGUGAAGAUCAUGAGCACCACUUGAAGCUAGUACUUCAAAGGCUUCGUGAAAACAAACUAUAUGCCAAGCUGAAGAAAUGCGAGUUUUGGCUUGAGGAAGUAGCAUUCCUUGGGCACGUAGUAUCAAAACAUGGAGUAUCUGUUGACCCGGCAAAGAUCAAAGCAAUACAAAGUUGGGAUCAACAGAAGUCGGUGACUAAAGUGCGUAGCUUUCUGGGCUUAGCUGGUUAUUAUCGGAGAUUCGUGGAGGGAUUCUCUCGAAUCGCUACUCCAUUAACUCAGCUGACUCGGAAAGAUACAAAAUUCUUAUGGAGCGAGGAAUGCGAGAAGAGCUUUCAAGAGAUCAAGAGGAGACUUAUUUCGGCACCUGUUCUGACAAUACCAUCUGGUUCAGAUGGAUUUGUUAUCUAUAGUGAUGCUUUAGGCAAAGGGCUAGGAUGUGUUCUCAUGCAACGUGGGAAAGUCAUAACCUAUGCCUCGCGACAACUCAAGGAAUAUGAGAGGAAUUAUUAUACUCAUGAUAUGGAGUUGGCAGCAGUCAUUUUUGAGUUAAAGAUUUGGAGACACUAUCUGUACGGGGAGAAAGUGGAGAUUUAUACGGAUCACAAGAGCCUUAAAUAUUUCUUCACUCAGAAGGAACUCAACAUGCGACAACGAUGUUGGCUUGAGCUGUUGAAAGAUUAUGACCAUACCAUCCAAUACCAUCCUGGUAAAGCGAACGUGGUAGCUGACGCAUUGAGUAGGAGAUCAUAUGCAGGAACGAAUGCGUUGAUGUCAAGUAUACGCGUAAAACCAGCUUUGAUUGACAAAGUUAAAGCUGCUCAAGCUACGGAUCCGGAGUUGAUGAAGAUGAAGAAUAAGGUGCAAGAAGGUGUGGUUCCGGAAGCAAGAAUUGAUGAAGAAGGAAUACUUCGAGUCAACUCCAGACUUUGUGUUCCUAACGAUUCUGACUUGAAGCAUAGAAUCAUGAUGGAGGCACACAACACACCGUUUGCAAUCCAUCCUGGUAGUACCAAAAUGUAUCGUGAUCUUCGACAUAAAUUUUGGUGGAACAAUAUGAAGAGAGAGAUCGCGGAGUUUAUCUCGAGGUGUUUAACUUUUCAACGUGUAAAGGUGGAGCAUCAAGUGCUAAAGGGUCCAUUGCAACCACUUGAGAUUCCAAAGUGGAAGUGGGAACACAUUACCAUGGAUUUCGUUACGGGUCUUCCCAAGGUUUCUCAAGGCAAAGAUGCGAUUUGGGUUAUUAUUGAUAGAUUAACCAAGUCUGCUCAUUUGUUGCCGAUACGGGAGACUUAUUCUCUUGAACGUCUUGCUCGUAUGUACGUGAAUAAGAUUGUGAGGUUGCAUAGCAUGCCAGUAUCCAUAGUUUUGGAUCGUGACCCAAGAUUCACUUCAUGAUUUUGGGUUAGUUUGCAGAAAGCUAUGGGCACAGAUUUACGGUUUAGUUCGGCAUAUCAUCCUCAAACGGACGGGCAAUCAAAAAGGACUAUUCAAACUCUUGAAGAUCUAUUGAAACUCUGUGUUCUAGACUUCAAAGGGAGUUGGGAUAAGUACCUACCAUUGGUGGAAUUCUCUUACAACAACAGUUAUCAGGCAAGUAUCGACGUGACUCCAUUCGAGGCAUUGUAUGGGAGAAAGUGUCGUUCUUCAGUGUGUUGGGAAGAGGUGGGUGAGGCAACAUUAUUGGGACCAGAGUUGGUUCGUAUGACUAUUGAAAAGAUUCAAAUGAUCCGACAACAUAUACAAACAGCACAGGAUGGACAAAAGAGUUAUGCGGAUCUUCAUCGAAAGGACGUGGAAUUUAAUGUUGGGGACCAUGUGUUGUUACGUGUUGCUCCGUGGAAGGGAGUUACGAGGUUUGGCAAAAGAGGAAAGCUCAAUCCACGAUUCAUUGGUCUAUUUGAGAUUCUUGACCGAAUAGGAAAUAUGGCCUAUAGACUCGUAUUACCUCCAAACAUGUCUCGUGUUCACAACGUGUUUCACAUAUCUGUGUUACCUAAAUAUGUGAAAGACCCGAACCACAUUAUUGAAUUAGAACCGGACGAGAUAGCUGAAGAUUUAACGUACGAGGAGGUACCUGUCAAGAUCUUGGAUAGGAAUGAGCAUUUCCUAUGCACAAAGGCUAUACCAUAAGUCAAGGUUUUGUGGAGGAACCAUGCUAUUGAGGAAAUGACCUGGGAGUUGGAAUCGAAAAUAAAAGCGAGUUAUCCUCAUCUUUUGGAAACACCAGGUAUGCACGUCAAUUUCAAGGACGAAAUUUCAUAAGGAGUGGAGGUUGUAAGACCCCAACUUUUAUGAAUAAAAAAUUGAAUUUCCUCUAUAAUUUAUUUUGAAUAGUAAGGGGUUGAUUUGAUUAAUGUGGUAAGUUAUGGGUAAAAUACGCAAAUAUUUUUAAAUAAGCAAGUGGUUAUAAAAUAUUCAUUGUUGUCGGGGAAUAUUCGCUUGGUCGUGGAAUAUUCUUGCUGUCGAAAAAUAUUCGUACGACGACGCAGCCAAUUGUGAGUCCCAUAACGGAAAACUGUCGGAUGAAGAAAACGACACGAAUGAGUGUUUAAAAAAUAACGGCGGAGUUUUUACCGUUAACACUGUUGGAAUACCUGGUGGGUAAAAUAAAUUAAUACGCGUCGUUGCACAGUAGCACACGGUAUUGCACAGUAUUUUUAUAUUAUUGUUAAUUAGAUAAUUGCUACUGCACAGUAUUUCCCAUUAUCAGAUCAAUAAUUCAUAUUAUUUGAAUAAUAUUAUUAGAUAGAAUUAUUGGCAAUGUCUAAGGAAGUUCUGUCGAGAAAAGGGGUUAGGUUAAUCUAAUUGCGCGCCAGUAAGGAGAAAUCCUUAUCGGAAAGCCCCAUCUUUCCUGGGAACGACCUGGUUGUCAAUAUUGUAGUUCUGUAAUAUUAUUUUUGAAUAAUUAAUUAUUGAUUUAUAUGAUAAAAAAAUAUUUAUUUUGUGGAUAUAAAAGAAGGAAAUAAUGCUGAGGUGUUUUUAUCAGUAUUUUGGUGUGAAAAAUCAUCCGUUUGUGGAUUUCGGACAUUUUCUAUUUGGAAUUUGGAAAAACUUUCUUCUGUAAAGUUGUAGAGAAUUAAAUUUCCUAUGGAAAGAAUAUGAGAUUUGAAUUUUUCUAAGAAAGGGCUAUUUUUCAUGAAUUAUUGAAGUUCCAGAAUAUUGUGUCGGAAGUGAUUUUUGGGGUUAAAAAUAUUUUUUUUACAAAAAAUGUUUUUUUAAUGGGUGGGCCCCACUUAGUGAGCUAAUGAAUGGUUCAAAGGUGGGUUUGAAUAUUUAUUUAAUAAAAUAAUAUUUUAUUAAAUUUUCUGCUUUGGCGUUCUAAGCAUUUUUCUAUAAAUAGGGUGUUGAAUUAGAAUUUGAAAAUCAUACCAGAAUUAGAAGUUUCUCUCUCUAUAAUAUCGAGCGUAUUUUUGUGAGUAUUUAGAUAUUGUGAGUGUUGCUAUUCAGUGCAAGUUUUCUUCAGCCUUAUAUCCGAUAUUCCAAUUCAAAGUAUUGUCCUUUUGAGGUAAGGGAUGUUAUUUUAUUUUAUUUUAUUUUUUUUUUUCUGAAAAUGAAGUUAUUUCUUUUAAUAUCAUUAUUCCAAAAUAUUGGCAUGGAUUUUAUUAUAAAAUUCUUCCUUUUUUUGUCGGGGUUACUAUUCACGUAUACGACACUAUUCACCGGAAAAUUUAAAAUUUCUUUUAUUUGUCCAAAUUGGCUAUUAAGAUUGUUAUCUUUAAUUGAAUCCAAGUUUUGAACUUUAUUCUUAAAUUUUGCUCCAUAAAUGAUUAUUAUUGUGGAGUGUUUUUGGACUUGGAUAAACUAAAAUUACGAAUCCUUACUUUUGUCCUUUAUCUCACUGGAUUCGUUCUUUAAAAUAAUUUUCAUUAUCUUCAGUUUUAAAUGGUGAUACGAAAGAAUAUCGUUGGCCCGUAGUGCAAAGUGGAUGAUUAUUUGAUGAAUAUCUUUGGCCCGUAGUGCAAAGAUGAACGAUUACUUGAUGAAUAUCUUUGGCCUGUAGUGCAAAGAUGACAGGUGUUGAGAUGAACAUGACCAACUGGUGAUAUAAAUGAAUAUCUUUGGCUGUAGUGCAAAGAUGAAUAUUUGAUUUGAUAAAUAUAUGGAUGUUACAGGGAUACAAUAUUGAUGAUGGACUUUCAAAUCAUAGAAGAUAGUAGACAUUAUUUUCUACUUUACUCUUCUGAUAUAUUGUUAUUUCCGCUGCAGUUGUUGAUCUAAAACUUGUUGUCCAUAAUAUUUUAUCUAAUCUGUUGAAGACUAACGAUAAAUUAUUUUUUAUUAUCUUAGUCAUAAUAUUUUUUACUGGGCUAGUUGAGCUCACCCUUUUCAUCUAUUGUCAUCUUCAGGAAAUUUGAAUGUUGCGGGGACUAGUCGGGGAACAGAGUGAUGGGCAGACUUAAGAGCAGUAGUAGUCGGGGACUUAGUUUGAAUGUUUAAAUUUUCUAGAUAUUUGUAUUAACACUCAGUGUCUGAUCGUAUUUUUCACUUCCUUGUGUUAUAAAAGAUUGUAUUUGGAUUCUGUACCAUAUAUUUGGCGACUCAUAAUGGGUUGUGUUGACUGGACCUAUUCUGGGGGCGUCACACUUUGAGUCGCAAGUGAAGCAAGUGCCCUUCUUUGGGUUAGGGCAGUUAGGUGCUAUGUGGCCUUCCUGACCACAAUUGUAGCACACUCAUUUUCCUUUUAUACAGACCCCCAGGUGAUCUUUCCCGCAUGUUGAAAAAGCUUCGAUCCUCUUCUUCUGACCUCCUUGCUGAUUUUCAGUUGAUGAGUUGUCGAUCCACCUCCUUUUCUGGUUGUUACUUCCUCCCGUGUUGCUACCACUAGCCUUGUUAACUCAUUCACAUUCACUCUUCUUCUUUUUCUGAUCUUGGUUAUACUUUGUAACAGUGUCACUCCCGCCUUCAUCGAGAAUGGCCUUCUCUAGCACCCUAGCAAAAGUGUUCAAUUGGAACAUUGAAACUUUGCUAUACAACCAGGGCUUCAGGCCCUGUUCAAACCUCUUUGCCUUCCUCUGAUCGGUGUGCACUUAAUACGUGGAAAACCUAGCCAACUCAUUGAAUUUUUCCGCAUACUCUGGUACGGACAUAUUCUCAUGUUUCAACUCCAGAAACUGAACCUCCAUUUGAUUCUGCGAGCUGGUCGAAAAAUACAUCUCGAAGAACAUCUCUUUGAACCUCUCCCAGAUAAUAACACCUUCUCCUCCCCUGACCUUAUUUUCUUGCCACCAAUAACUAGCUUCGGAUUUCAGCAUGAAUGUUGCGUAGGCGGUUUUCUGGCCUUCUCUGACUCUGGCGAAGUCGAAAACUUUCUCCAUCUCCAUAACCCAGGUUUAAGCUUCUAUCGGGUUCAUGGUGCCUUUAAACUCUGGCGGUCGCACCGCCUUGAAGUCUUUGAACGUUGUGUUCGGUGGAGCUUGAGAUUGGUUAUUAAGCGCUCCAACAAGUAAGUUCACCAACUACUGAACGGGGUUAGCAUUGGGGUUGUUGUUGUUGUUUGUUGACCCCUCUUGGGCCUGUUGACGGUUAGGUCGUCUUCUUGGCGGCAUUUUCUGUUAAGAAAUACUCUUAUUAGAUCUUUAUUCAAUUCUCUAAAUAUCUAAGGCUUAACUUAAACGUUUAGACACAAUCACUUCAACACAUUAUCUCAAAUAAACUCUGAUAUAUUAUUUAAUCAAAAGUUUUAAAAUAAUACGAUAGCAUCACUACUAUUUACAUCAACUAUCCCGAGAUAAAGAAUCUACAGGAUUUAAAACAUCAUAAUAUUCCUCUGUUUAUAAACACAUUGGAAUUUACAUUAUUAACUACCAGAUAGGUUUCAUAAAAUCAAAUGCUUCUGUCACUGCCUAUUAAUGCGACGAACAGCUUUGCCACGCUCUUCUUCCAUAAUUCGGGACAUCGUCCUGCGAUCUAGCAUGUACGACGGUAGUCCUUCAAACUGAAUUGGGUACCUCAUAACCCGAUCUUGGGCCUUAUCAAUUGCAUUCUGAAGCGUAGAGUAUGUCUCCUCAAGCUUGGCCUUCUUCGCCCGACAGUUAUCUUCUGCGAUAUCUGGUCGUCGUGAUUCCCUUACCCAGGCCUCCUCUGCUAUGGCCAGCCUUGCUGAUUUCUCUUUCAGUUCAUUCUUCAAUUCCUCUAUUUCCUCUGACUUCUGCUCGGUUUGGCCCUUCUCGUGAACCAAAUCCCACUCUACAUUUCUAAACGUGUGUGAAGAGCCUCAACCUCUCCAUCCCUCAGCUCGAUGGUAAACUGUUAAGUAACUGACCGCUCCCUCAACUCCUGAACAGUCUCCCUCAACUCCUGAACAGUAUCACGUAACUCUAUGUUACGGUCAUACAACUCGUCAUACAUCUCGGCACUGAUAGAGCUCGAUGGGAACUCUUCAGGGUCUUCCUCCUCCUCUUCGGCUGUCUUAGCCUGAACCUCAAUCUCCUCAGGGUCUUCCUCAGAGUCCUCCUCUGAAUCAGAUACCAACACAUACUCCUGACCAAUGACUGUGAUCAAGGUUGAUGGCUCUCGUCGGACUAACUGCUCCCAGACUACGUGGAUGUCUCGGGGCUCUUCUUUUCUAGCCUCUAGGGGUAUAAGGUCCCUUGGCUGACUAGGUUCUCCAGCAUUCGUCAUCCUGACAAAUAAAAUUUUAAGUCUUAGUUAUUACGCGAUGUUAAUCGAUACUAGAGUAUAUAAGUAUAAGCACAUAGCAUAUAAGGGUAAGUUAUUAUCUUUCUUAGAAUUCGAUAAGAGUUAUCAUUACUAUGUUUUUGAUCUCUAAAAAGGCUAUUAUCCUAAGGUUUUCCCUAACCUAAGGUUCAGAACCUGUCUCUGAUACCAACCUGUGACACCCCCAAAUCUGGGUACUUCAAUUCCACGGGAUUUGGUGUUCACUGUACAAAUAUCAUCUAUCUAUCUACACAUAAUAAAUGCAAACCAUGCAAUAGAUAGAAAUAAAUUCUCCCCUUAUGGGGUUACAACAUCAGAAUAUAAAUACAUCAAUCCCUGGUCAUACUAACCUUAAAUCUCAAAUACAGAAACGUAAACAAAUAAAUAGUUUUACACAACUUUAACAUAAGUCUUAAACAAUAACAUAUCAAAUAAACAAUAAGUCUUCAUCACUUGUUGACUUUGCCCUUGCCUUUGCUAGUAGAAGGUUUUUCGGACCUUUUGUUCUUAACUGCAAUGUUAUUAUUAUGCAAGAGUGAGCACGAUUGCCCACAAGUAUAAUAAUAUAACAACAAUAUGAUAACAUGUGAGUGAAUCAAGACAUCUGAAUAAAAAAACUCAACUUUUGAUUCAAGAAUGAAUAACAGGAAUCAAAAGAACAUCUGAGGGUCAUAAGACCUCGAACUAUGUCUUAGAUUGUAAAGUUUUUAUGCUUUAAACUUUUAACAAUCAUAAGACUAUGGACUCUACUUCUUUUAAUUAGGGGGAUCAGCCUUUAGUACCAUAUUGUGCACAAUAUCUCAACGCUAAAGUGUAAAUAAUCCCCUAUACAGGGUUGUUCAUCUCAGUUUGACAUCGAAGUCCGCACCAAAGAAAGUUUGGUUAGGAUAAAAUAAAUAAUAGUUCUGAAAUUUAGAAUGUUCAUCAACUAUGGACUAGUCGAAUCAAUAAGGUUUCACUAGUCUUACAAGGUUCAACAAUAAAGAUAUUCAAUUUAAAUUAACAAAUCUCAAGAGUAUACAAUUUAGGAAACAUUGUAUAACUGAAGUAAUACUUAAAAACAAUUAUAAUAUCUCAUCUGAAAUCUUGAGCUAGAAUAGUAAAAACAUGAUCUUGAUUGACAUAGAAUUAUAAGUAUCGAACUUGCUCAAUCGAAGAAUUUAGAAUUUAAAUAAAUUUGUUUAACAAUAAUAAGUGAAGGAUAGAAUACUUGCUCAAUGUAAAAUUAAGGUUUAGAAACUUGCUUGACGAUAAUAAUUUAGGGAUAAAAUACUUGCUUAAUCAUAAUAGAGUUAGGGUAAGGAAACUUGCCUCGUGCAGAAGCUACAAAUCUAGUUACACUACAAUUCCUCAACGUCCUACACAUUACAUUAUGCAUACGAUGUCGAUUAGUUUUCAUAACUACCAUGUUUAACUGUUGAACUAUUCACUUAAGUUCAACUUAAAACUUGGUUUAUAAUAUUACUCGAUGACUAACCACAUAACAUGAAUGUAAACUCACAACAUGCAUAUCACACAUGUAUAACCCUUUAAACAAUCAUAAUCAAGUUUUACAAUCACAAUAUUCAAGUUCGCACUUAGUUUGUUAACUUGAACCUUAACAUUAUCUCAUACAUGUCAAUAACUUAGUUGAUUAAUCAUGAAUUUCAAAUCAUAUAAUAUACAUGUAUGUAACUUAGAACAACAUCUUUUAUUAUCGAGAACACUACACUUGUGUGCGUGCAUGUCUGAAUCCCUCUGAUUGCCUCCGAAUACGCAUUAUUCACAAAUAUGGUUAUUUUUACCCAUUUUAACGAUUUCAAAUCAAAAAACUUAAAUAAUGAAAGUUGUAGGUAUACUCGUUAUCUUUUUGAAUCAUCCUGAAUCGCCUUAAUCGAAGUUCGUAUGAAGAAGUUAUGCUUAAUUUACUACAGGAGGUCAAAACAGAAAUUUUCCCUGAACUACCCCCGCUGGGGUGGGGGUUAAGCCCGCUGGGUCGAGUUUUGUGCUACAUGGGCCCGCUGGGGUGGGCCUAGAGCCACUGGGGCGGGCGUGCCUUGGCGGUUCAGCCCCCAUUCGUGAUUUUGACAGUUUUUAGCUCAAAUACUCCAAUUAAAUGCAAAUUAAACUCACACAGUGAUUUCUAUGAAGUAUGAACUUCAUAGAAACAUCAUACAAUGUUACUAACAUAUUUUUAACAUCUUAAAUCAUGAAAUUACUCGAAUCAAAUCAUUAAAUUCCACUGUUCUUGGUGUUCUUGGCGGUUUUGAAGAAAAUUACGAAAAUCAUCGUCACGUAUUCGUUAUAACUUCGAAUCUGUCCGUUCAAAGUUUUUUUUUUUUAACAUGUAUAAUCAUAGUCUACUAUAAAAUUCAUGGUAAACAACCAAUUUAAAGCAUCCAAUUUAUACAUAAAGCCAUAUACGUGUUCUUCAUGCUCUACAACUUCUGAAAAUCCAAUUUAAACAUAAUUUCAUAGUUUUUGUUUCUUUAAAGCAUAUAUAAUUGAUGGAAUUCAUGUCAUAAUCAUAUAGUAACACGUAUAUAUUCACAUCAGGCAUAAAUCACAAGUUUGGUUGUUAUAGAGAACUUCAGAACACACGUUAAUGGAAGAACUUGAAAACAAAACUUGCAAACUAAAGAUGAAGGAAUUACCCUUGCUACUUGUGAGAUUAGAUGAUGUAAAACUCUUCUUAUUCUUUUAUUCUUCAAUCUAUCUUCCUUAAACUCUCAAACUCUCUCUCAAAAUUUUCUCUGAACUUACUAACUAGUAUAUAAUAUGAACUAAUAUAUGAUAUAAGUCUGAUUAUAUGAUAUAUAGAUAUAUAAUAUACGUAUGUAGAAUAACUGGUGUCGUAGUGGUCAGUUACUCCCAUUAUGGGUUAACUGGCCAACUCCUACUAAGGCCUCGUUUGGCUGGCCGCUUAAUAACUCAUUCCCAUUAAUUUUAUUAAAUGUUUUAUAGUAUAUUUUUAAUAUCACACUUCUAAUUAACCAAAUAAUCUUAUUUAAAUCAAUUAAAUAAAAUAUCAUAAAUCCACAUUAAAUCACAUAAUUAUAUAAUUAAAAUUCUCAUUUAUUAAUUAUAUCAAAUCAUUAAAUUUCUAAUUAAUUAUUAAAUUAAUUAGAACAACAUUAUGCUUUUUAAAUGAUUCAUUUAAUCAAAUAAGCUAAAUUAAAUACAUACUUUGAAUAAUAAAAUUCUCCACAUUAAUUUAAUCAAUGUAACACAUAUAAUUAAAUUAAUCUACCAUAAUUUCAUCAAUUAAUUAUUUAAUUCAAUAAUUAACUCAUCGAAAAUUAUUUAUUUAAUUCAAAAAAUAUUUAAAUUAAAUUACAAAAAUCUCGUUCGUCACAUCUUCCCCCCUUAAAAGGAUUCUGUCCUCAAAAUCACGGUUCAAUUAAAUUCGUCUCAUUACAUAUUGGAAGAUGGUCGGCCAAUAGUAUCUCUGCCUUAGAAUUUUGUAAGCCAAUUACUUGGCUCCCAUGUGAUCCCCACAGAUUCAGUCGUGCACAUCCUUUACAGUAUACUCGAUUUCCGAAGGUGUCAAACACUUGAGCAGUGGAGAAGUAAACGCCCUUUGGUACAGAUUCCCGUCAAUGAGAACGAAGUUGGAACUCCUGUGCUUGAUUUUUCUAGUGUAUAGGCGAUCCGAAGGCAGAACCCCCUUGGCCAGAUAGGAGAUGUAAGGUGUGUGCCAAUAGUCCAACAGAUCUAAGGCUAAUACAUCCACCUUCUGAACACUAGGUUUGUCCAACACUUCCAAGUAUACUGAGCCGGUAAAAGAACUUGCUUCGAUUGUAGCCAGUCGAGCCAGGGACUCUGCCACUGUGUUGUCUGAUCGAUCAAUCCCUUGGCAACUGUUUAAACUGAACUAUGUGAGUCUGUCUUUUACCUCGGCCGGGUAUUUUGCCAUCCUGGCCCCCCGAGCUUCAUAUUCCCCCGAUAUCUAUUUAACAACCAGCUAGGAGUCACUAUACACCACUAGCUUCUGAACUUUUAGGCUCCAGGCCAAGCGAAGUCUGGCCAAAAUGGCCUCGUAUUCUGCCUCAUUGUUGGUGGCCUUGAACUAAAAUCUAAUGGCCUGUUGGACCCGGAACCCUUCGGGACUUGUUAGAAUAAUCUCUGCUCUACUGAUGUCCGAAGUGGAUGACCCAUCCACGUAGAGAGUCCAUGCAGCUUGCAGCGAUUGUGUUUCGGUGACCAAAGUUACAUCUGCUUCGGAGAAGGAGCACUCUACAACAAAGUAUGCCAAGGCAUGUCCCUUAAUUGCCGUUCUGGGGUGGUAUUCCAUAGCAAACUGAGUUAAUUCCAUUGCCCAUGCGGUAAGCUAACCCGAGACUCCUGGCAUGUGCAUUACUUUCUUUAAGGGUUGAUAUGUGUAAACUAUCAUCAACCGACCCUGGAAAUAGUGCCAAGCUUUCGACUUGCAAUGAUCAGAGCGUAGGCAAACUUUUCCAGGUUCGAAUAUCUAGUCUCUAUUUCUCGAAGGACGUGGCUGACAUAAUAGACCGGGAACUGCCUUCCCCCUUUUUCUCGUACCAAUCUUGCCCCCACUUCCAUCGAGCUUGCCGCUAGAUAUAAAUACAAUGGUUCUGAAGGGAUCGGCUUCAUUAACAGAGGUGUCGAAGACAAGUAUUGCUUGAUCCCUUGGAAUACGUCUUCGCACUUAGAGGUCCACUGGAAACUCUUCUCGUUUUUUGGCCCCUUUAGAGUGUCGAAGAACGGCAGACACCUUUCGGCUUAUUUUGAUACAAAUCUCCAAAGAGCCGCUAUCCGAUCUGUCAUCCUCUUCACAUCCUUGUAUGACUUCGGCGACUUCAUAUCUAGGAUUGCCCGAAUUUUCUUCGGGUUCGCUUCAAUGCCUCUUUUGAUGACCAAAUAACCCAAAAUAUUCCUUGAACCCAAGACGAAGGUACAUUUAGUUGGAUUCAAACGCAGCUUAUGUUUCUAAACUAUUUCAAAGCAGCUUUCUAGGUCUGCCAGAUGGUCUCUAGGAGCUGUCGUUUACACUCCUAAAUUAACCUCACUUUCAUUUUACAAAUUCAAACAAUUAGCAUAGUAGCAAGCAAGGAUCGAUCCCACGGAGAGUGAUUUGUUUUAUAUUUGUUCUAUGAUUUCUAAUUAAAAGGGGGUUUUGAAUUGAUUAAACUAAAUUAACAAGAAUAAAGUAAUACGAAUUAACAAUGAAUAAAAAGCUUCAGUUCUUCAGUUCAAUGCCACCUUUUCACAAUUAUGGAGUAAUCAAGUUUUACAGUAUUUACCCUUCAAUGAAACUAUUAGCCCUAGAUAGAAACAAGAUUUGCUAUUCGAAAUUCUCCUUAUAUUGUCACUAUAUGAAACAAGCUCUUCACCAAAUUCUAACUGUAAUAUAACCUAGAACAAGCUCUCUAGAUUUAAUAUGACAGAAGCGUUAAGAAAUAAAGAAUUAGGCUAAUCCAAGCAACAAACACAUAAGCUUGAUUUGUUUAACUUGUUUCCUGAUAACCUUAGUAAUACACAAAAGCUUGUCCAUAAUUAGUAUCACUAAUUUGCUACUUGUGAUGAAGACAGAUAUCAAUAACAGUAAUAUCAAUGUUAAUCUAGUAGAUGAUAUCAAUUCACUAAUUUAAUCCUGCAGAAUCAUGUUAGUAAAUUGAAUAGCAUACAAGAAGUUAAAGUAGAAUAUAUCAGAAUAAAUCUUAUGCAAGAAAGAAUAAAUAAAGUAAAUUUGAUCAAAUCGUUUAAUUAUGAAAAUAGUUCAACAUCCCUUCAGAACUGAAUUGAAAGAAUUAGCUCAUGACUCUAAGCAAACCUAGAUCUAAUAUGAAAGAAAUAAUAAGAUGAAAAUACAAGAGAAAAGAUACCUAAAUAUAUUGGUCUCAUCCCUUUUUAUAAUCAUCUCCUUAUGUUGCAUCCAAUCCCGAGUCACGAAGGAAAUCAGUCAAGUCUCGCGCCUCCCCGCCUCAGCGGUGACAUUUAUUGUCCAGACUUGUUUUUAUGGUCAUGCCGCCCACUUAACAAGGAAACAACAAGGCUGAAUUAUAUUCCCUUAGUCAAGUACGUGACCCACAAGCUCCUCUAAUUUCCUCAAGCGCGUGACCCACAAGCUGCUCCAUCGUGGGUCAUCUCCUUUUGUCGUGAGGUGCUAAUAGUGUGUGAUAAUGGGCUCGUGAGGUGCUUGGAUCCAUGAACCCAUUUUAUAUGUGAUUCCUUUAAUUUCUUUGUAAUUGAACAAGCCAUAAGAUGCUAUAAUCUUUGGGACAAUUACAUAUAAUAGUACAUUUUAAUAAAAUAAUACAAAAAAAGUGCAUAAAUAAAAUAUUUACAAAAUUAAUGCAUAUGCAAUACUUAAUUACAAAAAGAGUGCAAUCUUAUCCCUUUAAUAUGGCCACGAUUUUCUCCCCAAUCUCUCCCAUAUCUCCCACGAUUUUCUCCCACUCCAUUUUUGUUUCCAUUCUCCUCCCCCUCCUUCCCUCCUUCCGCCUCCUCCCUCCCUACGCCNNNNNNNNNNNNNNNNNNNNNNNNNNNNNNNNNNNNNNNNNNNNNNNNNNNNNNNNNNNNNNNNNNNNNNNNNNNNNNNNNNNNNNNNNNNNNNNNNNNNNNNNNNNNNNNNNNNNNNNNNNNNNNNNNNNNNNNNNNNNNNNNNNNNNNNNNNNNNNNNNNNNNNNNNNNNNNNNNNNNNNNNNNNNNNNNNNNNNNNNNNNNNNNNNNNNNNNNNNNNNNNNNNNNNNNNNNNNNNNNNNNNNNNNNNNNNNNNNNNNNNNNNNNNNNNNNNNNNNNNNCCUCUCCUCCCUCCGCCUCCCACCGCUACCGGUCCAUUAUCCAUUUCCACUGGUAACCAAACCUUCAAACGUUGGUAACCAAAUAGUUAUAUCAAGGUAACCAAACAUUCAUACCAAGGUAACCAAACAUUCAUACCAAGGUAACCGAACCUUAAUAUGAAGGUUUCUUUAAGGUUUGGUUACCUUGGUAUGAAGGUAACCAAUUCAGUUUUAUUAGGUUACCAAUUUAUUUUGAAUGUGAUGCAGUUGGUAACCAAAAUUCAUGCAGUUGUUUACCAAACCUUCCGAUAAGGUAACCAAUUCAGUUUUAUUAGGUUACUAAUUUAUUUUGGAUGUGUUGCAGUUGGUAACCAAACUUCAUGUAGUUGGUUACCAAACCAUUUGAUAAGGUAACCAAUUCAGUUUUAUUUGAUUACCAAUUUUAUUUUAAAUGUGAUGCAGUUGCUAGCCAAACUUCGUAUAAAGGUAACCAUUUUAAUUUUUGUGGGUAACCAAAUCGUCAAAAAAAAUAAUCAAAAUAGCAACUCCGGUGGUGGCAGCGGCGGCGGCGGCGAGAGAGGAGGAUGAUGAACAUUAGCUCCUUCAUAAUUUUUUAUUUUUAAUUUCCUCAUUUUGAUUUGAAUUUUGAAAUAUGGAUUUGAAAUUGUUGUUAGAUCCAAAAUAUUUGAAUUUGAAUUAUUAGUUAUACUUGAUUUUAGGUUUCCUUAUUUAAUUUGAAAUUGAAUGGUUUGAAUUUUUUGCACUUUUUUUGUAAUUAUUUUGUGGAUGUACUUUUUUGUAAUUACUUUCUAAAUGUUGUAUAGUUCUGUAAAGGAUCCAUAAUCGUUCCUUUGCAAAUUCGUGUGCUGCUUCAUUUUAAUUGAUAAUGACCGCGACCCACAUAUGAAUUUAUUAAAUUCCUUUUUCCUUUGCAAGCACCUCAAAUAAGGUAAUAUAUAGAAGAAUCUAAACCACUCUAGAAGCGUGGAAGACCGGUUGGUGCAAAAGACAUUUUACCACGAAAAUCAAAAGUAAAUAAGGGAAUCCCAGAAAGAAUACCAGCUCCAAAAAUAGCACUUAUUUCAAGAGUGUGAAUAACCCCAGAAGAGAUACAAAAUCUCAGUGAAGGGAUAAGAGAUGAACACCAUAAGAUCUCAAUAAAUUAUGUAUAUGAUGAGAAAAUAUGGGAUCGAAGCAAAGUCAUAAUUGAUGAUAUAUUUGCUUUCUCUAUAACAUCAGAUAUUAAUUUGAUUCCUGACACGGAUCCUGAACCACAAAACAUGGAAGAAUGUCUGAAAAGAAAAGAUUGGCCAAAAUGGAAAGAUGCUAUUCAAACUGAGCUACAAUCUCUAUUGAAAAGAGAAGUAUUUUGACCAGUAGUCCAAACACCGCUGGGUGUAAUCCCAGUUGGAAACAAAUGGGUAUUUUUACGAAAGCGAAAUAAGAAAAAUGAAAUUGUGAGAUACAUAGCCCGACUUGUAGCUCAAGGGUUUUCACAAAGACCUGGUAUUGAUUAUCAGGAUACAUACUGUCCAGUAAUGGAUGGAGUCAUUUUUCGCUUUCUGCUAGGUAUGGCGACCAUGGAAGGUUUGGAAACACGUCUGAUGGAUGUUGUAACAGCAUACCUAUAUGGUUCACUUGACAGUGAGAUUUACAUUAGAAUCCCUGAAGGAUUGAAAAUGACUGAAUCAUAAAGGCCCCAUCACAUAUAUUCAAUCAAGUUACAACGCUCAUUAUAUGGGUUGAAACAGUCUGGUCGUAUGUGGUAAAAUUGACUUAGUGAUUAUUUAAUAAAAGAUGGGUAUAUAAAUAAUCAAGUAUGUCCAUGUGUUUUUAUUAAGAAAUCACAAAGUGGAUUUACCAUCAUUGCUAUAUAUGUCAAUGAUUUGAAUCUUGUAGGUACUCCUGAAGAACUCACAAGAACUGCUACUUAUUUAAAAGAAGAAUUUGAAAUGAAAGAUCUUGAAAAGACAAAAUUCUGUUUGGUAAUACAAGUGGAGCAUUUAGUAUCUGUAAUUUUUGAUCAUCUCAGUCGUUUUCAUAUGGAUAAAGCUCAUCCUUUGACUACCCUUAUGGUUGUUCGAUCUCUAGAAGUUGAUAAAGAUCCAUUUCGGCCUCUAGAAAGUGGAGAAGAAGUUCUUGGACCUGAAGUUCCAUUCCUAAGUGCAAUAGGUGCUCUUAUGUAUCUUGCAAACUGUACACGACCUGAUAUUACUUUUGUUGUCAACUUGUUGGCAAGAUAUAUAUAGUUCUUCUCCGACUAAGAGACAUUGGGAUACGAUCAAACACAUUUUGAGAUACCUCCGUGGAAGUAUAGAUCUUGGGUUAUUUUAUCCAAGAGAUUCAACGUCGCGAUUGGUUGGAUAUGCCGAUGCAGGAUAUUUAUCAGAUCCACACAAUGGAAGAUCACAAACAGGUUAUGUAUUUAUAUAUUGUGACACGGCUAUAUCCUGAAAAUCCACAAAGUAAACCAUGACAACUACAUCUUCAAAUCACUCAGAGAUUUUUGCUAUACAUGACGCAAGCAGAGAAUGUGUUUGGUUGAGAUCAAUUAUUCAGCAUAUUCAAGAAUCAUGCGGAUUACAUUCAAUUAAAGACAUUCCUACAAUUCUGUAUGAGGAUAACACUGCAUGCAUUGCUCAACUUAGAAGAUGGUACAUCAAGGGAGAUAGAACAAAACAUAUUUCACCUAAAUUCUUCUUCACACACGAGCUACAAAAGAAAGGUGAUAUAGAUGUGCAUCAAAUUCGAUCAUAUGAUAAUCUAGCCGACUUAUUCACAAAGUCGCUACCAAAUGCAACGUUUGCAAAACUUCUGAAAAAGAUCGGAAUAUGUCGACUGAAAGACUUAUGAAAACAUUUCAUCAAAGAGUAAAGAAUUCCAUUUGAGGGGAAGACUGUACUCUUUUUCCUUAGUCACGGUUUUUAUCCCAAUGGGUUUUUCCUGACAAGGUUUUAACAAGGCAGUCAAUUAAGAUAUUUAUGUAAAAGAUAUGUACUCUUUUUUCCUUUGUUAAGUUUUUCCCACUGGGUUUUCUUAACAAGAUUUUUAAUGAGACAUCUAUAUAAUAAAACAGAACCCAAUUUGAAUAUAUUCCAACUUUAAAAUUUGACAAAGCACAAUAACGGUUCAGAUUUCAUCUCAAUCCUUCCAACUUAAUCUAAAGGCUUACAUCUCAUCUCACACAAAAAAAUUCCCGCCCAGUAAAAAAAAACACGCCUAGUGAGGAGGGUUGAAUCAGAGGUAGGCAUAUUCAAUAACUUCCAUAAACCCCUCUUUGUCUUCUCUCUCAUGGCCAACUCUCCUACUCCUAGGGUUUCCGCCUUAUCUACUGGUUCACCUCCUCCUUUGAAGCUCUUGGCUGUUGAAAUCAUUAAAACCAGAGACCCUACGGUUCUCUCUCUUCUCUAUUGGUUCACCUACUCCUUUGAAAUCUUUGGCCUAUUCAGAAGGUUUAGCUGCCAAAAUGCUCAAUUUCUGAUGUUUCUAGCAAUGAAAACAAAACCCAUUUGGGUAAUUCCAAUUUGAAGAAACAAAUUUCAGGUAAGUGGUGGUGUUUUUGAGUUUUAAACCUCCAUUAAUGGAGUACUUACAUUUUUUUUUCAAUUCCCAAUAAAUAAUCUAUAUAAUAAAACAGAACCCAAUUUGAAUAUAUUCCAACUUUAAAAUUUAACAAAGCACAAUAACGGUUCAGAUUUCAUCUUAAUCAUUCCAACUUAAUCUAAAGGCUCACAUCUCAUCUCACCCAAAAAAAUUUCCUCCCAGUAAAAAAAACACGCCCAGUGAAGAGGGUUGAAUCAGAGGUAGGCAUAUUCAACAACUUCCAUAAACCCCUCUUUGCCUUUCUCUCACGGCCAACUCUCCUUCUACUCCUAGGGUUUUUGCCUUCUCUACUGGCUCACCUCCUCCUUUAAAGCUCUUGGCUGCUGAAAUUGUUAGAACCAGAGACCCUACGGUCUCUCUUUUCUCUACUGGUUCACCUCCUCCUUUGAAAUCUUUGGCCUAUUCGGAAGGCUCAGCUGCCAAAAUGCUCGAUUUAUGAUGUUUCUGCCAAUGAAAACAAAACCCAUUUGGGUAAUUCCAAUUUGAAGAAACAAAUUUCAGGUAAGUGGUGGUGUUUUUGAGUUUUAAACCUCCAUUAAUGGAGUACUUACAUUUUUUUUCAAUUCCCAAUAAAUAAUCUAUAUAAUAAAACAGAACCCAAUUUGAAUAUAAUCCAACUUUAAAAUUUGACAAAGCACAAUAACGGUUCAGUUUUCAUCUCAAUCCUUCCAACUUAAUCUAAAGGCUCACAUCUCAUCUCACCAAAAAAAAAUCCUGCCCAGUAAAAAAAACACGCCCAGUGAGGAGGGUUGAAUCAGAGGUAGGCAUAUUCAACAACUUCCAUAAACCCCUCUUUGCCUUCUUUCUCAUGGCCAACUCUCCUUCUACUCCUAGGGUUUUUACCUUCUCUACUGGCUCACCUCCUCCUUUGAAGCUCUUGGCUGCUGAAAUCGUUAGAACCAGAGACCCUACUGUUCUCUCUCUUCUCUACUAGUUCACCUCCUCCUUUGAAACCUUUGGCCUAUUAGGAAGGCUCAUUUGCCAAAAUGCUCGAUUUAUGAUGUUUCUGGCAAUGAAAACAAAACCCAUUUGGAUAAUUCCAAUUUAAAGAAACAAAUUUCAGAUAAAUGGUGGUGUUUUUAAGUUUUAAACCUCCAUUAAUGGAGUACUUACAUUUUUUUUCAAUUCCCAAUAAAUAAUCUAUAUAAUAAAAUGGAACCCAAUUUGAAUAUAUUCCAACUUUAAAAUUUGACAAAGCACAAUAACGAUUCAAAUUUCAUCUCAAUCCUUCCAACUUAAUCUAAAAGCUCACAUCUCAUCUCACCCAAAAAAAUUCCCGCCCAGUAAAAAAAACACGCCCAGUGAGGAGGGUUGAAUCAGAGGUAGGCAUAUUCAACGACUUCCAUAAACCCCUCGUUGCCUUCUCUCUCAUGGCCAACUCUCUUUCAACUCCUAGGGUUUUCGCCUUCUCUACUGCUUUACCUCCUCCUUUGAAGCCCUUAGCUGCUGAAAUCGUUAGAACCAGAGACCCUACGGUUCUCUCUCUUCUCUACUAAUUCACCUCCUCCUUUGAAAUCUUUGGCCUAUUCGGAAGGCUCAGCUGCCAAAAUGCUCGAUUUUUGAUGUUUCUGGCAAUGAAAACAAAACCCAUUUGGGUAAUUCCAAUUUGAAGAAACAAAUUUUAGGUAAGUGGUGGUGUUUUUGAGUUUUAAACCUCCAUUAAUGGAGUACUUACAUUUUUUUUCAAUUCCCAAUAAAUAAUCUAUAUAUACAGGAGAAAAAAUAUUGAGAAGAAGCUGCAAAACACAGUAAAGAAGGCGUCUGUAUGCAUAAUCUCCGCCAUAGAUGUUAGUACAUAUAAUCCCUUAGAUCGUUUUUGUUUGUAUUUGAUACUUUAUUUACACUGCCCCUGUUUAAUUUUCGUUAGUUUCAUUUCUUUUUCAUAAUUAGAUUGUUUGUAUUUCAUUCUUUAUUUAUACUGCCCCUGUUUAAUUUUCGUUAAUUUUAAAAAAAAUUAUAAUUAGAGACAUGUAGAGAUGAAUUUGGGGAUUUUUUAAAUAAAUUUAUUAGUGUGGGUUGAAAUCGUGGGAGAGAGGUUGAAAUCCAAAACACGUUAAUGUUUGAUCCAUUGUCAGUAGAUUUCGGCGAUGGUGAACCGGAAGAAACGAACCGUUGGAGAGCUCUACAAUGCGACUGUGAUGAUUAAGAAACCGGAGGCAUGUAAUUUAUGUUUCCAAUCCUUUCAAUUUUAAUUUCCCUUAAUGUUUCCGUAAUUGAUCACUUCAAUUUUCUAUAAUUAAUUUUGUUAUUUGCACAGUUAUUAUUAUUGGGAUUUUUUUAAUUUUGAUGUGUUUUUGUGGUAAUUUAUAACUUCAAUAGCUAUGUAUAAACAAACAUAUUUUUCCUUAUCAGUUAUCAUGCUUAGGAUGCUAGGUGCUUUAGGUGGCAUCACUAUGUAAUGCAGACAUGAUUUCGUAAAUUAAUGUAAACAUUUGGCUAAUACUUUUGGACACAGUAAUUGAUGUUGUUUGGUUUGCUUUCUAGAUCACCCCAGUUUUGAGUGGUAGCUGUCGAAUGCAAGAGCCAAUUAAUGAAACAGACAACGGCGAUCAAUUGAAUAUGGUGAGAUUACAGGGUAAUCAAUUGUUGUUCUUAAUGUUUAGUGUAGUGCAUGUGGUUUCUCCUUUUUUGGUACCCAACUUUUGAUUCUGGUAAAUUGAGAAAUUUGUUUAUAUUCAUUUCCUUUUAGACUUUCUUUCCAGUCCAUACAAAAUUUGGUAGUUGCAUUAGGCACUUUACAAUCCUGAACUUUUUUCGACUCUCUUUUUACCCUACUUUUUUCCUGUUCAUUGAAUUUAGAAAUGGAGAUGAUGAAAGAAAGGUUUGUAAAAUAUUUGCUGGGUCACAUGUCUGGAAGAGGUAAAGGGGUUUGCACUGCAUUGGCAAUUUCAAAUGCCUUCACUAAUCUUUGUUGUACUUGCUCUCUCUUUCUCUGUAUAUAAACAUUGUUGAGAUUGCUUUACAUUGUGAUGUGACAAAAUACCCUGUUAUGUAAGUUUUUUUAAUUGUUCGGCCAACUGUGGAGAUUGGAACCAUUGCCUUCUGAGAAGAAAUCAAUAUGGCAAAGAGAGAUGGAAGGUCUUUUUUUCAUUAGCGAAACAUUUCCUAAUGAUAUAUUUGAAGUAGUUAGAGCUUCAAACUUAUGAAGCACCUUCUUAUUUUUGCAUUAGCGAAACAAUUACAGCGAUUUUUUUGUGCGUUUACUUUCAGUGAUUUGUUAUUUUCUAAAUGUUAGACUUUACUUAUAAAUUAUGGUUUCUAUAAAAAAUGGAUGACCCUCAAUGUUAUGUUGCAGAUUACAUGUUUGAUAAAAUGUCAAUAAGUAGAGAAACAUAUAACCUCCAUCACAUACAUUCAAUUGUUUUGAUUUAAAAAAAGAUACUUAUUAUUUUAUCUUGAUUUUUUUUUCAAAUUGAUUAUACAAGGCGUCAAUUGAUGUCUUGAAUAUACAUCAGGAGGAUGUAUAUAUUCAUUUUGUUGCCAGUUACUAGACAUGGUUUUCCUCCCUUAUUCUUCAUUAGACGUUCCCCAUGCUACGGCGGUCCAAACCAUUUUGAAAAAAAAAAGAUUUUUCCAAUUGAGUUCAUUUUCUUUAUCUUUUCAUGCAAUUAUUUUUUUGUCUCAUGUUCACUUAUAAUUGGCUACUUAUAAAAGAAGUGUACCUAAACCGUUCUUAUGUUUGGAUUAUAAUUUUCAGGAAACUUGGUUAAACCAAGUAGAGGAGAUGUAGUUGCACUGUGACCGUGGUCUUUUCCAAUGUAGGUUCCUAUUUGAAAACAACCUCAUUUGUUAUGCAGGUUCCUAUUGGUUCCUAUUGGAUGGUGUUACAGACUGAUCGGUGUACCCAUGGGCAAUUGCAUCAACAGUGGCAUAACAAAUAUUUUCAUCAUAACCCAAUUCAAUUCCUUUUCUCUCCAGCGUGAAUUUUGGGAUGGCUUUGUUGAGGUAUGAUCAUUACACUAUAAUAAAUAUAUCUACAUUUGUUUUCCAAAAAAAAAUAUCUGCAUAUGUUAUCCAAAAAAGAGAAGAAAAAAAUGAAUAUAUCUAUAUUAUUAGAAAAAACUUAUAAGAUUAUGUUGUUUAUAGUUUUUUGAAAGUUUGGCUAAUUCUCAGAAUAUGACUAUUUCAAAGUAGACCUACAUCAACUAGUAAUCUCUAGAGAUUUAACUGUUUGUUAAUAAUUUUGAUCGGAUUUCUUCAGACUCAAAUCUGAACAAUAAAAUUAUGGGAAACGGGAAACAUCAUCGUAGCUUCAUUCCACAAAAAAAUAUAAAGGUAUUCUUUUGACAGUGUUAAAGUAUUGUUACCUUAGUUUUAACAUUUAGGUAGUUUAUUUUGACAUAGUUCAUGACUUUACCAGAAUUAAUGAAGUCUCUUAAGGUAUGUUAAGUCAAAUUUGAGAAGUAAUAAUUAAUAUACUUUCAAUUGUUUUUUUGUAUAAUAAUUUUGAACCUCUUCUAGAAGUCUUUUUAGUAAAUGUUUAUGAUGCAUUUUGGUUACAAAAGCAACCUGCAAAGGAGUAAUUCUUAGGAAUUGACAUUGUCCUCAUGUAGAAAAGUUGGGCAUCCAUGUGAGAUCAGCUAUAACUGCAAUGAUGUACAGAAAGGGACUCAGGUUCUCUAGCUCAGCCAAGCAAAGUCAUUCCGAUGGAGAGAUUUUUAACUACAUGGCGGUUGACGUUCAAAAAGUGGGGGACUACUCUUAGUAUCUCCAUGACAUAUGGAUGCUUCCUAUGCAAAUCAUUCUUGCUUUUUUUAUUCUAUAUAAGAAUGUUGGGAUUGCUACUAUUGCAACAUUGAUUGCCACCAUUAUCUCCAUUGUUGCAACUAUCCCCUUGGCAAUGUUCCUGGAAGAUUACCAAGACAAACUAAUGGAUGCAAAAGAUGAUAAAAUGAGGAAGACUUCUGAAUGUCUUAGAAACAUGAGGAUCCUCAAGCUGCAAGCUUGGGAGGAUAGGUACCGCCUGAAGCUUGAGGAAAUGCGAAGGGUAGAGUUUAAAUGGUUGUGUAAAGGUCUAUAUUCACAGGCAUUUAUUACAUUUAUUUUCUGGACAUCCCCUAUUUUUGUUUCGGCCAUCAUUUUUGGAAUUUCGAUAUUGUUAGGGGGUCAGCUUACUGUAGGUGGUGUUCUUUCUGCUCUGGCCACUUUUAAGAUCCUACAAGAACCUUUAACGAAUUUCCCAGACUAGGUGUCAAUGAUGACUCAGACGAAAGUGUCUCUUGAUCGAAUUACUGGGUUCCUGCUGGAAGAAGAGUUGCAGGAAAUCUGCUAUGUAUAUUUGUAUUUGCCUAGCCAGUAUCUUUUUCUGCUACUUUAGUUAUCUGUUCACAAGUUUAUGAAUCAGAAUGUUUUUCAUCUAUCUGUUGUUUAUUAGUGUGUAAAAAGAUUGAUUUAUACAUAGAUUGUGUACUCCCAGUCUUUUUUUUGACAUGAAUGAUAAACGAUGAUGUAUCAUAAACGAGGGUUAAAUGUUUUUUCAGUCAUCGUACUAUAGGUCAACUUACAGAUCGGUAACUGAACUUUUUUUUUUACAGUCAACUCACUGUACUCGAUUUUGCUAACAAAAUUAAAAAAACCGUUAAGUCAAAAUUUGACUUAACAAAAAUGAUGACUAGGCAGCUGGCUUGUCUUUAAAAAAAGCCUAUGUGGCAAUUAUUAUGCGACGUGGCAGUGAUAAUGUGGAUUUGGAGAAAUUUUUUAUGAAAAAAUGGGAAAAAAGAUUUUAAAGUAUAAUAUAAAUUAUAAAUAUUAGCCAAAAAAAAUAAGAAAAUAAAUAAAUAAAAAUAAUUAUUUUUAAUAAAAAUUAAAAAGUUAGUUUUUUUUAUUAAAAAAAAUUAAAACGUAUUUUUUUAAUAAUAAAAAAAACUUAUAAAAAAAUUGUCUUUUUUUAUUAAAAAAAACUGACUUUUAAUUAUUUUUAUUAAAAAAAACUUCAUUUUUUUAUUUUUAUUAAAAAAAACUAAGUUUUAAUUUUUUUUAAUAAAAAUAAAAAAAUAAUUAUUUUUAUUAAAAAAAAUGCGUUUUAAAUUUUUUUAAUAAAAAAAACUGCGCUUUUUAAUUUUUAUUAAAAAUAAUUAUUUUUAUUUAUUUAUUUUCUUAUUUUUUUGGCUAAUUUUUAUAAUUUAUAUUAUACUUUAAAAUAUUUUUUCCCAUUUUUUCAUAAAAAUUUUCUCCAAAUUCACAUUAUCACUGCUGUGAGACCCCAGAUUUUAUGAAUAAAUAUUUAAUUUUCUCGAAUUAUAUUUUUGAAAAUUAUGGUGUGGAUUUGAUAUAAUGUUAUAGUUGUGGGUAGUAUUUAUAAAUUUUACAAAGUACGCAAGUUGUUAUAAAAUAUUCGUUUGGUCAAAAAUAUUCGUACGACGGCACAAUCAUUGGUGGACCCCACAACGAAAUUAUUGUCGGAUUGAGAAAACGACAAAAAUACUUUAUGAAAAUAACGAACUAUUUAUAAAUCUUGUUCAAAUCAACACUUUCACGUUACCUGUCGAUCUUAUCUCUUUGAAAAUACUUGUCUUUGAUGUGAUUUUUGGAAAAGAUUGGUUAACUACUCAUCAUGCUUUUCGUAAGGUUGUUAGCUUUCAUACUCCUAACCAACCUGUUAAGCGAAUUCAAAGUAACCAAACCAUUAAAGUCAAUCAUUGUCAUAUCAAGCCAUAAAUAAAGAGCCCCGAUCCUUUCGUUGUUGACUUUCUUGUGUGGAAUGCACCGAAGCCAGACUUUCUGUAGGCGACGCUGUGAAUGACGAUAACAAGUUGAUAGGUAUAAAUGUGAUGUGUUACCCAAGUUUUGGAUGAGAGUCACAGUUUUGAAUGAUAUUUCCAUUGUUAAUAAAUUUUCUUACGUAUUAUUGAAGACUUCUUAGCCUACCCUGGAGCGUGAAAUCGAAUUUUGUAUUAACCCCAGUACAAAACCCAUUUCUAAAACCCUCAAAUAUUUCUUCACCUAAAACGAAAGUAACAUGUGCCAAAGACGUUGGCUCGAGCUGUUGAAGAUUACGAUCAUAUCAUUCAAUACCAUCGUGGAAAAGCGAACGUGGUAGCUGACGUGUUGAGUAGAAGAUCGUAUGCGUUACAAGUGCGAAUAUACGAACCCACGUGAAGAUAACGAAUAUACGAUUAGAAUCGACUUUAAUCGAUAAAGUUAAAGCAGCUCAAGCUACACACCCGGAGCUGAUGAAUGUGAAGAAUUAAGAAGGUUCAAGAGGGCGUUAUUCUAGAAGCAAGAAUCGAUUAAGAGAGAAAAUCUCAACCCUUGGUUUUAUUGGUCCAUUUGAAAUCCUCGAUCGAGUAGGAACUGUGGCUUAUAUACUCGUUCUACCGCCAAGUAGGUCGCGUGUUCAGAACGUUUUUUUUCGUAUCGAUGUUACGUAAAUAUGUGAAUGACCCGAACCACAUUAUUAAUUUAAAACCGGACGAGAUAGCAGAAGAUUUAACGUAUGAGGAGAUAUGUGUUAACAUCUUGGAUAAGAAGGAUCAUAUUCGACGCUCAAAGGUUAUACCUCAAGAGUUAGAAUUUGAAGUGAAGUCAAGGUAUCCUCACAUGUUCGGCAUACCAGGUACGUAUUUAAAUUUCGAGGGCGAAAUUUCAUAAGGAGGGGAGAUUGUGAGACCCCAGAUUUUAUGAAUAAAUAUUUAAUUUUCUCGAAUUAUAUUUUUGAAAAUUAUGGUGUGGAUUUGAUAUAAUGUUAUAGUUGUGGGUAGUAUUUAUAAAUUUUGCAAAGUACACAAGUUGUUAUAAAAUAUUCGUUUGGUCGGGGAAUAUUCGUACGACGGCACAAUCAUUGGUGGACCCCACAACGGAAUUAUUAUCGGAUUGAGAAAACGACAAAAAUACUUUAUGAAAAUAACGGCGAAGGUGUUACCGUUAAAACUGUUGAACUACUCGGUAGUAAAAGUACAGUAAUACGCGUGGUUGCAUAGUAGCACACGGUGUUGAUUAUUGAUGCUUAUGUGAGAAGUCACUCAGCUAUACUCAAUUAUUGCUACAGUAAUUUCUGGAUCAUAUCUCUUAUAUUAUUGAUUCAAUUAUUGUCACAGUAUCAUCUGUAUAAUAUGUUAUAUUAUUAAAUCAAUAAUUGAGACAACAAGUUAUAAAUGAUUAAUAAUUGUUGAAAGAUUAAAUAUGUGUUGAUUAAAAAUAAAAUGAUUUGUGGUAAUAUUUAUUCAAUCCUUGAUGUAUAUAAAGAGUCUNNNNNNNNNNNNNNNNNNNNNNNNNNNNNNNNNNNNNNNNNNNNNNNNNNNNNNNNNNNNNNNNNNNNNNNNNNNNNNNNNNNNNNNNNNNNNNNNNNNNNNNNNNNNNNNNNNNNNNNNNNNNNNNNNNNNNNNNNNNNNNNNNNNNNNNNNNNNNNNNNNNNNNNNNNNNNNNNNNNNNNNNNNNNNNNNNNNNNNNNNNNNNNNNNNNNNNNNNNNNNNNNNNNNNNNNNNNNNNNNNNNNNNNNNNNNNNNNNNNNNNNNNNNNNNNNNNNNNNNNNNNNNNNNNNNNNNNNNNNNNNNNNNNNNNNNNNNNNNNNNNNNNNNNNNNNNNNNNNNNNNNNNNNNNNNNNNNNNNNNNNNNNNNNNNNNNNNNNNNNNNNNNNNNNNNNNNNNNNNNNNNNNNNNNNNNNNNNNNNNNNNNNNNNNNNNNNNNNNNNNNNNNNNNNNNNNNNNNNNNNNNNNNNNNNNNNNNNNNNNNNNNNNNNNNNNNNNNNNNNNNNNNNNNNNNNNNNNNNNNNNNNNNNNNNNNNNNNNNNNNNNNNNNNNNNNNNNNNNNNNNNNNNNNNNNNNNNNNNNNNNNNNNNNNNNNNNNNNNNNNNNNNNNNNNNNNNNNNNNNNNNNNNNNNNNNNNNNNNNNNNNNNNNNNNNNNNNNNNNNNNNNNNNNNNNNNNNNNNNNNNNNNNNNNNNNNNNNNNNNNNNNNNNNNNNNNNNNNNNNNNNNNNNNNNNNNNNNNNNNNNNNNNNNNNNNNNNNNNNNNNNNNNNNNNNNNNNNNNNNNNNNNNNNNNNNNNNNNNNNNNNNNNNNNNNNNNNNNNNNNNNNNNNNNNNNNNNNNNNNNNNNNNNNNNNNNNNNNNNNNNNNNNNNNNNNNNNNNNNNNNNNNNNNNNNNNNNNNNNNNNNNNNNNNNNNNNNNNNNNNNNNNNNNNNNNNNNNNNNNNNNNNNNNNNNNNNNNNNNNNNNNNNNNNNNNNNNNNNNNNNNNNNNNNNNNNNNNNNNNNNNNNNNNNNNNNNNNNNNNNNNNNNNNNNNNNNNNNNNNNNNNNNNNNNNNNNNNNNNNNNNNNNNNNNNNNNNNNNNNNNNNNNNNNNNNNNNNNNNNNNNNNNNNNNNNNNNNNNNNNNNNNNNNNNNNNNNNNNNNNNNNNNNNNNNNNNNNNNNNNNNNNNNNNNNNNNNNNNNNNNNNNNNNNNNNNNNNNNNNNNNNNNNNNNNNNNNNNNNNNNNNNNNNNNNAGUCGGGGAACGGAGUGAUGGUCCAGAGGAUAGCAUUAGUAGUCCUCACUAUUUUGUGAAAUAGUGUGAUAAUAAUUGUAAUGAGGACUCCUUUUGAGUUUGUAUAAUCUCUAGUAGACAAUAUUUGUAUUCAAAGUUUUGUCGUAUUGUACACGACAGUUGUAUUAGUAAGUUGUAUUUGAAUUUUGUACCAUGUAAGUGGCGACCCAAGAUGGGUGACGUAUACCUAAUUUUGGGGGCGUCACAACUGUCACGUCGCAUAAUAAUUGCCACAUAGGCUUUUUUUUAUAGACAAGUCAGCUGCCUAGUCAUCAUUUCCGUUAAGUCAAACUUUGACUUAACGGUUUUUUUAAUUUUUGUUAGCAAAAUCGAGUACAGUGAGUUGACUGUAAGAAAAAAAAGUUCAGUUACCCAUCUGUAAGUUGACCUAUAGUACGAUGACUGAGAAAGCAUUUAACCCUCAUAAACGAUGAUGUAAUCCUUUUUUUACAUUAUUUGAUAUUUUUCUGUUAUUUCCCUAAUAAUAAGUUUUGAAAUAGAUGCGUCAUAUGCAAUAUUAAUAUUUGAAAAAAAAGAGUCAAUAACUAGAAAGAGAGUUCUUUCUUAAGAUGGGGGAGUAUUUGAUUAAAAUUAUGAAGUUUUUAUUUCCAUCAUAGCAGCUCAACGGAGCCUUGAUUUUUCAAGCCCUUCUAUUUACUUUCUCGGGAAUUUUCAUUGAAUUUUUUUGUAUGAAUUUUUAGUUCAAUACAGAUGAUACAAUUUUAUUUAGUAAAAUUUGAAGAAUUUUUAUUUUUAAAAUGUACCUGUCAGCUUUAGUCAUUUGAGAUUGUGGAGAAGGAUUUGGCGAAAUGAGAAUGCUAUUUUUAUUAAAAGGGGCCCAUAAUUAAAAGCACCAUCUUUACUUUCUAGCCUCCUUAUUUACAGUAAGAAAUAGAUGCGUCAUGUUUUCAUUGUAAAAAAUGGUGUCUUGACUUUUAAAAGUAUAGUGGAUUAACUUUGAAUGGCAGUGCCUUAUUUAUUUUUUGGGGUUGCACAAAGGCAAGAGUGCAUGUGAAAGGAGGCACUGAUAUGUAGACGGCUUGGACCUUAGGGGGUUAAGGAAUGUCAUGUACAUGACCAUGAGAAUAAUAUGGAGGAGUUUUCUUAAGUAUUGGGGUGUUCUGGGAAAUUUUCAGUAGUUGCAUAACUUGCACUAGGUCUGUGUGGAUGUUUUCUUGAAAGCACUUUUGUGGACCACUUCAGUAGUAUCUCUGCCGAAAUUUCUUGAAAUUAGUAACGACUAGCUUGAUGUUUUGGUGGUUGGAUAUGUAUUGAUGAUUGAGUGUAUAUUACUGAUCGUAAGUUAUUUUCGGUUGUAAAAAGUCUUUAAAGAAUGUAAUAUUUUUCAACUUAUAAUCUAAUUUUUCGUUAGGCCGUUCCUUCAAGCACGGACAAUUACUAGUAAUCUUCUAUAGUAGAAAAUCACGGAAAGUAUUGUAAAGUGAUUCCCUCCUCCGCAGGGCUCCUCUUUCUUCUUCUCCUCUCCCGUGAACCUUUUCUUCCUCCAUCCGUGAACUUGAGCUUUGCAUAUAAGGCAAUGCUUCUGAAGGAAAUAAAAUAACUUUUCUCCGAUUAUCUCUCUCUUUCUCUCUUACUUAUUCUCUCAUUAUUAAUAAAUAAUAAAAGUAUUCUUCUAUACUUUGCUAAAAUUUUAUAACAAAUAAUAUAAUAAAAGUAAAACUGUCAUCUCAAAACAAGUUCGCAUUUUGAACGGGCUACCAAACUUGUGAUUAAAAGGUGUCGAUUAUUGUUGGGCUAAUCAGCCUUUUGAAAAGUGUUUCAAAUCUUUAGCCACGGCGGUUGCCUAAUAAAUAGUCCAGCCCGAACGCGGGAAAAAAAUGAACCAUUACAAAAGGAGAGCUCCCUUGCCCUCAAUCAAUCUAGUCUAGGGUUAGGGUUAGGGUUAGGGUUAGCAGGAAGAGAAAUCUGAGGAAGAUGGGCGUGGUUACGCGAUACGGGGCUCUUCGUCCAGGGCAAAUCCAUGCGAGCUUUGUAAAGUGAAAGAUGUUUAUAUAAGCAAUCCUCGUCAUGAGCCUUGAGCAAUUACUUCAGAUGAUGGGCAGAGCAUAGUUUUACUUGAUCCUCUCUGUGUCAGAACAUUCAUUCCUGAUCGUGAUGAUGGCGGCAGCGGUUCUUGGGGGCCGGACGUUCCUUGUGGUACUCUUUCAAAAGAUUAAAUUUUCAAAUUUAGACAUAUGUCCUUCCCACUUGUUCUUGAUGAAGUACGACUUACAAAGCAAAUCGGUGGAAUGCAUACAAGAGAAGAGGACUUUGGGCACUGGCAUGGAGGUGGCGUUGUGCUUUUGGAUCACUACUUGUUUUGCUUUGGCGUACAAGAGGGGAGCUGCUCUGGAAAGCCUCGAUCAUUGUAUGCCUUUAAUUUACGGAAUCUCAAGUUGCAUUCCAAGGUUCGGAAUCUUCCUAAACCAGAUGAUAAGGGGUUUCCCGAGGAAGACUUGUAUGUUGAUGAUCAGUUGGCAUGCUUGCUUAAAAUCUGAUUUGGAAUAACUUGGACUGUUACUCUGAUGAUCUAACUAUGCUUCGUGUUGUGAAAUUCACCAUAUUCAAAAGUGAGACUGGCAAGUUAUUCGAAACUCGUAUGUUGUCUAAAGGACAUUGUGUUGUUGAUGGUCGUUUUCCUAUCAGCUGCCUCGCAAUGUAAGCAUUUCUCCCUUUGUUUUCAUUUCUUUUGUUUCUUCUAUUUUGUGAAACUUAUUUUUUUAUGUAACACAAUUUCUCUUUGCUGCAAUUUAAGUUUGAUUCUCUGAUAAUUGCAGUCCCCCCUCUCUUAUGAGUUUUACCAAAAUUUUAAUUUUGGAAGAGUCUCGCUACUGCUACCUCGACUAAACCUAUAAAUUAGCUGUUAGAUACCAAAUGUUAGAACAUUGGAGAUUGCACUUAUAAAAAACAUAGAAGCUUUUGAAUUAAACUAUGAUGAAAAGUCAGAUCUUAAUAGUCACUUUGAGUUCAAAUUGCAAACAUGGAUUUUAGUGAGAACAUACGUGAUUGCGUGUGUAUAAAUAUCUAACGAUUUUAUUAUUUAUUUUUGUAUGAUAUGUUUUCAUUGCUUUUAUUGUUUGUUAGCAUACUUUGUGAAAGAAAUCCUUAUGAAGUACGUUUUUCUUCAAUCUCGGUGGAAGUGCGUCAUGUCCAACUAUGUGCAUGGCAUUGUAGGCUUUGAAAUCGAAAAAAGCUUUAGAUCCUUAUUUUUAUUUUCAUUGCCCUUUAUUAGCAUGCUCAUUGAGCUCCAAGUCUUUUGGGGUUCUGUAGUGCUGUUAGAUGGUAUGAGUGAGAGUUUGAAGAUUCAGUGACAUACUAUGAGGAGCAAUCAUACAUUAUACUUUUUUAUAUUUUGUGGAAAAUCAUACGGUAGGUAUUUGUUCCAAGGUAAGCAAGUUGACAAAUCUGAUGUAGCAAAGAACCAAAGACGAAAUGAAAAACUCACAAGAAAAUUGGUGAAUCCAUCAUAGCAUUUAUUGUAUAUCCUAAAUUUCCUUUACCUUAGUAUACUGAGAAUACACAAGGAAUUGGUGAGAAUAAAGAACUUAUAUGUAGUGAUGCAGUAGCAUUUAUAGCAAUCCUUAAGCUCCUUCAGCGGAUUAUACUGAGAAUACCCACGAAAUUGGUGAGCAUAGUAGAAGUUUGCAAUGGACUAAGUUGUUAGAUUAUUAUUAGGAGUUUUUUCCCUUAUUAAUUAGGUAACUUGAUUUAUAGUAGAAUUAUGGUUUCGUCUAGUCGAUAUAAACUAAUGUAAUUUCAUGCUUUUCUAGAGUUGACUGUAUUACUCCCUCAGCCUUAGAAGCAUGUGUGUAAGUGCAAGUUUUUUCCCCCUCCAAAUGAUGGCUUUUUAAUACACAAGUCAAAUUAAAAUGUACUUUAAAUCUAGAAAAAGGAGAGGAGAAAACUCUGAACAAAACAGUGUAUUCAUGUAUCAAGAACCGUAAUGCAGUGAUUCAUCUUUUGACAUAGAAAGAUGAAUGAUCUCAAGCCUAGAUUCGUAUUUUAGACGUUUAAAUUAUAGUAGUAGAUUUUUAGUUAGGAGAAUUUUUUUUUUAAAUUAGGAUUUUUAUUAUAGUAAUAAAUUUUAAUUAGGAGAUUGAUUUUAAUUGGCAAAACUAAUGAUUAUCCCACUAUAGUGGACACUUUUUACUUAAUACAUCAUUGAACUUUUAAUUUUUGCAAUUACCACAUUAAACUAACUAAAAAAGUAAAAUCGAACCAUUUCGUUAAAUUGUCCAAACCUGUCAAACUAUUUCAAGUUUUUUUCCUACAUGGCUGAUAAAAAAAUAGAAAUAGAAAAAGAAAAUAAAAUAAUGACCUGUUCUGCGCCUACAUAGUAUUUUUUUUUUGGUGAAGCACCUACGUAGAGAGCUUCGAAUGUCAUGAAUUAACAACAUUAGAGAACUCGCCACCAGAGAUGGCGAAACCCAACCAGUAGCAUUAGAGAACUUGUCGCGGGCGAUGGCAAACCCCCCUGAACGUUCCCAUCCGACUCAUCAUUUUUUUUAUCGCCGAUCAUCUCUUAGUAACGAAGAAUGCGACGUUAGGAUUUAGGGUUUCUAAAUCCACCAAUUGUUUCUUCAACAAUCUGUCGGUGCCCCCCCCUACCCAAUCCAACCGCCACAGACGACUGCGGUUCAAGGAAUUGGGAUAGAAACUAGUGUUUACUACCGCCGGAGGUGAAGUUUAUUGGGGCCGAUGAGGAUUUUUUACGUGAAGAUGAAGAAUCUUGAUUUGCUGUUCAACAACAAGAUUAUAGUUCAUGGACUUGCAGGGCAGUUUAGACAUUCUAUUUUUUUCACCAGCCACGUAUGAAAUUUCUAGAGCAAAUGUAAUGAGCGUUUAAUUAUUUUAAUAGAAUCGUCUAAUUUCAAUUUCUAAUUAAUUCAAUGUGGUAAUUGCAUUUUUUUUAAAAUUUAGUGUUGUAAUAAGUAAAAUAUGCCAACUGCUGUGGGGAAAUCAUUAGUUUUGCCGAUUUUAAUUAUAAAUUAGAAUUUAAUUAGGAGAUUGAUUUUAGUUAUAAAUAGUUUGAUACUCCGUGCGAGGCACGUGCUAGUUUAUAUCGUUCUUUUCAUAAAUAUUUGAUAAUUUUUUAUUGAUAUGUAUUUAUCAUUUUUUAUUGACAUAAUACAUAUAUAAUGUUGAAGAUAAUUUGAAUCAGCAUAUAACUUUUAGUAUUUCAAGAAGAAAUGUAACGCCCCCAAAUCCAGGUCUGCCCGGAUUCGUCCUUCAAAUAACCUGACUGAUAAUUCAAUUCUCGUGAACAGAUGACCAACUUUCUUUUUCUUCCAUUUUCUUCCAGAAUGAACGGGCAGUGUCUUGACAUUUUUUUUCAAAUACCCCAUCCAUGCUUAUAUGUGAAUCUUUUAUCAGUAUCUCGUUGACUAUUUUCUAUCUCAAUAAAUCUUUCCUGCAAUUGGCCCACGUCAUUAUCCAUGAAGACCAAAAAUAUUAAUUUAGCAUUUAUUCAUUUUUAAUUAUUUUAUUCUUAGUUAAUAAUUACCUGAAUUCUUCAUUUCUGCAAUUGACUAUUUUCGUGAUCUACCUUGUCAAAUUAUAUAUAUAUAUAUAUAUAUAUAUAUAUAUACAUAUAUAUAUAUAUUGGGUUUUACCACUUUUAUCUACUGUUCAUGACGGAUUACUAUUCAUGCCGGAGUACUAUUCAUGACAGAAGUUAAUUUUUCUUGUCCAAAUUUGCCCAAAUCAUUAAUAUUAAUCAUAUUGAUUUUAACAUUAAACAUUUAUUUAUUUAACUUUUCUCCCUUAUUUUGUAAUUUCAAAUGCUCAAAUUAGGAUUCCUAGUUCUUAUAUUCUAGGAUUUUCUUUCCCGUUUUCGCUAAAAGUUUAUGUUCUUAUGCAUGAUUUUUGCUGCAUUAACACAUCAUAUAUUAUUUUACUAUGUUGUGAGGAAUGUAUCAACAUCAUAUAAAAUAUAUAAAAAAGAAUACUUAAAACAUACCUUCUAAUUUUGUUUUUCUACGUUUUUCCCAUUUUUUCUUGUUCUGCUAAUGUUCAGCUGUGGCCUCCUCUUCAUUUUUCUUUCUCACGCCUCUUCUCCCACUCUUAUUUCUGACUUCCCUCUUUUUCCUUCUUUUAGGAAUAUAUAUAUAUAUAUAUAUAUAUAUAUAUAUAUAUAUAUAUAUAUAUAUCUUUACUAGGAGAAUAAGUAGGGAGAAGGGUACGUGUAUAUCUAUAUAUAUAUAUAAUUUAUAUAUAAAUCACUUACCUAGCAUUCAUUUAAUAAGUAGGGAAUGCAGGUGACUCUAUGUAACUCCGUUAGAAGAAGAAUAGGUAGAUGAUACCUAUUUCCCAUGUGAACCUUCAACUAAAAU